Molecule: long non-coding RNA, 57614 nt
Filed under: Podarcis lilfordi (Lilford's wall lizard)
Lineage: Eukaryota; Metazoa; Chordata; Lepidosauria; Squamata; Lacertidae
Source: RNAcentral
GUGGAGCUGCAUACAAAUAUUGACAGAACACAGUGGUAUUUGUUAAGCUGGAUCUUGGGAAGUGAAUGAUUAAAACUCUGAAGGAAGAUCUGAAAACUUCAGAGCUUCCCUCCUCCCUCUCCUCAAGAAUCUUUAACAGUGUUUAACAGAGUGAAAGUGAAAAUGCUGAGCUUGGUUAAAUGAAAGCCCUGACCUUCUUUUCCUCUGCCUUUGCCUUGCUGUAGGUAAGGACAAACUUCUUGAAAUGUUUUCGUUCCUGCAUGUUUUUUUAAUCCCAUUAUGAAUUAGUGGUUGUUUAAUGUGUGGUAGUAUUGAAAGGGGCUGGGAAUGCUUUUGAUUUAAUUCUGUGAUUUGGGCAAAAGUUAUGAGACAAUCUUUGUAAAUAGACAGACUGUGUUAGCCAGUAGCUAUGCACCAUCAAAUGUUAAUACUACUUUUCUCACAGUUCCAUUACAGUAAGUGAUAGGUGCAUGAAUCUCCUCAGACAUUUUAAAGACAUACUUAGAUCCAAAUAUCUGGGACACAUGAAAUUCACCUCAGAAUUCCACCUAGUGGUGUUCAACUGAGAGUUCAAAGUUUGCUGCCUGGGUUGUACCUGCAAAACAUUAUUGUCUCCAUCACAUAGUUAAUCACUGUCAUACUGCUUUCUAGUGCCAAUGAAAGGGUACUGAAAAACCUGUUUGACUUAAGGUUUUAUUUUAACUUGAGAGACUCUUGAAACAUUGGAAUAUUUCCCCCCACUGUGUAUGCUACUUUGAAGAAAUCACCGGAUGACUGAAAAAGUGUAUACUAAACAUUGUCCUGAAAUGGGCUUUUUGUAAGAACACAAUUUAUUUAUUUAUAUCUAGAGAGAAUGAAAUAGACCUAUGAUGCAGUCAAAAUUUUGAUAUCCAUGAGGAUUACCGGCUGCUUGUUGCUUCCAAUUGCUGCAUACUAGCACUCAAAACUGCAGAAGCCUGAUGAUUGCUUUCCAUCUCAGUUGCUUAUCACCAGUCUUUGGGGCUUCAUCUUUUUUCAAUGUAAGCAAAGCAUCUUUCAUGCCAUGGGAUCAUGUUGCAAUAGGAGGGUUUUGGUUAAAUAUGCCUUAUUAAUCUUUAAUGUAUAAGUAGCACUGAGCAUUUGCCAAAUGGAAACAUUUAAGCAACACCUCAUGUAUCCAUUGCCAAAAUAAAUGCUGGCAGGCUACAAAAUAAUAUUUUUAAAAGAAUUUUGCAACAAACUUCAACAUGUGGGUUCAAAUAUUUCACGAUCCUUUGAUGCAUCUUGGAAAACGUGCAAAUGCAAGUUUGCCUAUUAAAAUCCUACAGUUGGGGGCUGGAAGUUUGCAAGCGUUCCUCUGAUUGAAUAGCACUUAUUCAUGAAGCAGGUCUAGUUGAGCUCAAUGAAACAGCUUGUUUGAAUCAGCACUACGCGUCAUUAGAGUUAAGUAGAAUUAGGCUCAUAAGGAAUGUUUAUGGGCAUAUGAUGUAUAUGUCUGAUUAAUAUUGAAAGCUACCUUCACAGAGCAACAUGUUAAUAAACAUAAUCACAUUUUGUGGAAUGUCUUUUAAGAAAAGCAGAGAUACACAGGGUGAGAUGGGAUUAGAAGCUGAAGUUUUUGGAUUGCCUCUCUUUACUUAAAACAUUGGCCUUAUCCGCAGUAUUACCCUGCCAUGGUAUUUUAUUUGUAUCACAACUGCCAAGAAGCUCAGGGGGCUUUACAUAGUUUCUCCCAUUUUAUCUACACAGUGAUCUUGUGAUUUAGUUAUGGUGGUAUUGACUGGCCUUAGUGAAACUCAGAAGUUGAAAAGGGUCUCUGUGGUCCAAGCAGAUUGGUGUGGAUUGCCUUUUUUCCAGCUGUGGCUGGUUUGCCCACAAUGAAUGUUUAUAGCCAGGGGUAAUCUAGCCACACUGGGCUAUUAUCUGGAAACCUCCUGUGUAGACUACUGUAUGUGGGGCUGCCCUUGAAGAGGACUCAUAAGCUUCAAUUAGCACAGAAGGCAGCUGCCAGAAUUUUAACCAGCAAGAUUGGCUCACUAAAUGAAUUACUGUACAUUGGCUGCCUAGUUGCUUCUGAGCUAAUGUAAAGGCACAGAUGCUAACCUUGAAAGUGCUAAAACUCUUGGUACUCAAAUAGCUGAAUAUACUCCUCUUUGGGCAAAAACAAGCCUGGCUAUGCUUUAAGAUUUGCAGAGAAGGGUCUUCUUUGUGCCCCACUGGUAAGGAAAGUUCAUUUUGUGGUGAUGUGGAUGAAGCCUUUUCCUCAAUUGUGCCUAUUUAUGUCAUGCCCUCCUACUAGAAACACAACAGGUACUUCUUCAUAUGUAGUAGGAACAUUAGAAUAUAUAAGUAGGGCUAUGUUGCAUAAUGCCCAAGAGUAACAUUCCUUCUGAGCACCACAAAGAUUCAAGGGUAGUGCUGAUAUCUCCUUGACAAUUCUUUACAAACUCAAAGGCCACUUUAUGAUGUGUGGACCAACUGAGGGGUCAUCACCUCAUUAAAUGAAAACCUGUUACCUUACCAACAUGGCCACGCAAUAAGGCCACAUCAAAGCACAAAUAAAAAGAGCUACUGUUCCAGAGGGAUUUGUGAGGUAUGCUAGAGAAAACCAUAAGGAAGCUGAAUGCCUCAAACACACUCAUUUGUUCCAAUACAUUUGCUGGCCAUACUCUUUAUUGGGAGGCUGCUGAAAGAUGUACACAAAACUAAAUGCUUUUCUCCUGGGUUAGCAGUCCAAAUCUGUCAUUGAUGGUUAGGGAAGAAAUUUAGCAGACAGAUGCAGUAAAUAUUUUUUUCUGAAAGCAGAAGCAGUUUGUUGCAGGGGUUAAAAAACCCAACCAAAGGGUAUGGUAUUUGUAGGACAUCGGGUGAGUUAAUAUGUAGCAACAUUUGCAUUUCCUAUUGCAUUCUAGACUGAUCACAUGCACACACAUUCGCACAGAUACACAUAGCAAUUGUGAGGCAUUAGGACAAUGGUGGCCAAUUUGCUUCUCCUUCUUUCUCUUUGUUUGAUAUGUGUGCCACAAAUCAAUCCAAACUGUGGCAUAGUGCCAUCCUGUUGUGCUCUGCAGUGCAUUAGCAAGGUUUUCUGGUACAUUUAGAUAUGGGUUGAAUAAAAUGGCAUGUUUUUCUUGUCUGCUGGGCUUGGAACAGCUAGCACAGGAGAGUCAGCCGGCCGAACUAUGCUAUAACCAGGUCUGUAGGUCGUUGAGGGAGGGGGACACACAACUUUCGGUACCUGUGAAACCCAUGCCUCCAGACAGGGCUCCUGUGCAUUAGGAACAGCGAUUAUAAAAUCAAAAGCAAUGCUGAUUGUUGAACGCAUUCUGCUUCUCCUAGAUUCGGUAGUGCAAAGCACAAGAAGUUUUUGGUCAACAAACAUACACAUGCAAAUUAAAUAGUAUCUGUAAUUCUUCCUGAGGAAAUAAUGUGAUCUGUCUUGGUAUAUAACUUGAACUUUGUAGUGUAACAGACAAGGGAACCUGUGACCUAUCUAUGGUUGCACUACAAUGUCCAUCAGGCCUGACCACUGGCUAUGCUGGAAUCCAGCAAUGUCUAGAGAGUCACAGGUCCCCCAUCCCUGUAGUACAGGGCAGACCUAAACAUGCCUGAUAAUUUUCUAACAUUUAAGUCUUGCACUUUUACAGUGCCAACUAUAGAUCCUUCCUACCUAAAAGAUACACCUAUCUGGCAAACAAUUUAGGUUAGAACUGCAGCACAGCCUUAACUGGAUGGUUGUUCCUGGACAAGGCUGAAUGGGAGAAAUAAUCAUAGUAAGCAUAUGUGAAGCAUCCUGAUUAACAUCACAGAGUCCUUGGCACCAACCCUGGUCUCAAAAUCCAGACUUUAACGGGAAUUUUGCCCAAGCUGGGACUACAGGAUCCACUUCUUGUAACAGCAAACAGAUGUUCACUUACAUUUUUUGGAGCUGAUUUUGUGCCCCCCCCCUUCCACUCUAUUUCCCUGCUCUCUGUACACUGUAGUGUUCCAUUGGGCUUCUCAAUAUAGUCACUAGCAUUUCAUGCCUUUGGCAUAGAAGAAAACAGCUAAGUUUUGGGAAGUUGCCUUGUUAAGACUUUGUAAAAAAUUAUUUUACAAACACUUUCACAUUGACAGCAGGAAUGGGACAUAGCCUGCAAUCAUAGUAGGUUAUGAAAGAGCAUUAUGGAAUCACCAUGAAAGCUGUCAAAGUCAUAUAUAUAUAUCCCACACUGCUAGCAAUUGGAAAGACACUGUAAAGGUGCAAAAGUGUUAGGAUAGGAAAGUUCUAUUUGUCUUGGUGAACUGGACCAACACUCCAUUUUUCGUGCUGUUGCAAUGCAGUGUGACCAAUCUGAAACAACUGGCUCACAUGUGCAUUAGAAUGUAUGUACAAAUGUUUAACUCGGUUGUGGGGAUUACAGCUUCAAACCCCUUUCUUAACCUUCCACUUUAUUAGAUAACCUUGAACAGACUACUCUUUCUUGGUCUCUCAACCAAGGCAGGACAAAUGACACCUAGAAUUUUGUAGCUCUCAAGAUGGAUGGGGCUUAACUAUCUUAUUGUUCUUCCUAAACUACAGCUUUCUUACCUGAAGUGUAAUUUACUGAUAGUCUCUUAGAAACCACAAAGCUGUUUCUCCUAAAAUGAGGAAUCAUCCCACCUCUCAAGUAUAAAAUCCAGCACUGUAGUCUGAUGGACUGGAAUUUAACUCUUCUUGCACAGCAGUAAUUAACACUGAUAAAUGAGAGGGCACGUCCGUGAAAGACCUUGGCAAGCAAAGCACAUUGCUGUGGUUUGCUAAAUGCUACUCAUGCUGCCUUAAUGGAAUUAUUGCUUUCUAAAACAUGAGUGCUUUUCCUUGUCAGAGGACCACAAUCAUCUUCCAGAGCAAAGGAGUUCCUCCUCCCCUUCUUUUUCUGUGUGGUGUGAACCACUAAAUAUAAACAGAGUAUCAUGUUUAGAACUACUACUACUGUGGUAAGCCACAUGAAUUUUGUGUUUUGUCAUUCUAUCACAUUGGAUAUUCAAGCCAUAUACAGUGGUACCUCGGGUUACAGACGCUUCAGGUUACAUAUGCUUCAGGUUACAGACGCUUCAGGUUACAGACUCUGCUAACCCAGAAAUAGUACCUCGGGUUAAGAACUUUGCUUCAGGAUGAGAACAGAAAUCGUGCAGCGGCGGGGUGGCAGCGGCAGUGGGAGGCCUCAUUAGUUAAAAUGUUACCUCAGGUUAAGAACAGUUUCAGGUUAAGAACGGAUCUCCAGAACGAAUUAAGUUCUUAACCCGAGGUACCACUGUACUUCAUUAUUUGAGGUUUGCUUGAGGAUUACAGAUUAGCUUGUUGCAUUGGGGGAGUCUCCCACAGCAGCUGGGAUGGUUCAUGUAGAGAGGAGGGAAGGAUGAGAGGGAAGGGGCAAGACUGUUCCGGUCACAAUGAAUCUAAGGUCCAUUCCUCAUCUGACUUUUAUUGGAUGAAUACAAUUCAAAACAGCACCUAAGCCCCACUACUUUAUGCCUUGACCAGCCAUGAACUUCACAUUGGCCUGGACAGAAUGCUAGCUCCUAACCUGCUGCACAGUGACUAACCAUUAUUCUUGAAGAUGGUUGAGAAACUGCUGCUGGUACAGUUGGGUGCAGGUGUCUGAUUGUUGAAUGGGGCAGCAAAAUGAGACCAUAUAUUACUCAUUUUAUUCUUAUUAUUCUUGUUCUUUUUUAAAUUAAAUUUCUAUACUUCCCUUGAUCAGAGGAUCACAGCAGCUGGCAGUAGCAGCAGCAAAAGAAAGAGAAAGGAAAAAAAGAAAUGUAAAAAACCCAACUGUCCUGCAAACAACAGUGGUGCCUGGUUGCUUUUCAGAAGAUGUAGGAUAACCUGCUAUCUAUAGUUUGAUCUUUUGUGGUCCAGUAAAAGGGCUCUUAACUUUUGUGAUUGCAGAGCAUGAGAAAGUAUGAGCAGCAAUUGUUGUUGAUCUUAAUGCAGAUUCCCUUUGAAGAGUUAGAUUGCACUGCUGUGGACCUAUGUAUGUACAUAUUAACAUUUUAAAGUGUCUCAUCUCUGCAUCCUCAAGCAUAACUUGGAAUGGUAUAAUUCCAUCUCAAGUAGGUCCUUCUAAAAUUCAGUAAUGUAAAGGGAGAAGAGAGUUCACUUUUGAACAGAAUCCACUUGGUGGUCUCUAAUUUAGACUCCAUUAAUAGUAUAUAAACAAUCAGCCAUAAACCUGUAAUACUAGUCUGCAUGCAAGCUAGCAUAUAUGACUGAGGAGAGAUUGAGAUGAGCAACAUCUCGUUUCCCAAUCCUGCCUUAACUCUUUGGGUCAAAUGUACCAAGUUACUGCAGCUUGAGUGGUGAUACCCAAUAGACAGUGCUGCCAUAACCAAACAUGGUUGAUCCCACACCAGCACUUGUGAACUAUUAUGAAAACUUAAGGGUAGCCUUCCUUGCCUUUCCCAAAGCUGAUGUAACAGCAGAACACACAUAAUAGUUUCAGAGGCAGCAAAUGACAUGUAUUGCUUUAUUGAUUGUUACAUGUUUGUUGAGACUAAAAAACCACUGGAAAACCCAACACUACACUAGGAAAGUGCAUGUAAGACGGUCUUGUUAAGAAUCAAUUCUACAAGAAGAGGGACAGAUAUGGCGGUAAGAAGAAAGGGUGGUGUGAAUCUAUGGCUCCAUCCUUACUACACAUUUAGAGCAGUAUCAUACCACUUUAAACAGCCAUGGCUUCCCACAAAGCAUCAUGGGAAGUGUAAGUUGUUAAGGGUGCUGAGAGUUGUUAGGAUCUGUGUAGAUCUGUGAGGGGAAUAGGGGUCUCCAAACUCUCAACCCCCAUAGGAAGCCACAGUUCCCAGGAUUCCUUGUGGGAACCCAUGACUGCUUCAAAUGAAUAGUGCAGAUGGGACCUACCAUGUCUAGCUUGUCAAAAAGAAUACUGGCAAAAAUGUUACUAGAAGAAAUGUGAGAAAAUUCUGCAUCUUUUCCAGUCUUUACAAUCCUAUGGCAAAAAUAAUGUGUGACCCUGUCUCUUUAGUGAGGUCAAGCGGCACAGGGUCUUUACCUCAACAGAAGAUUCCCUGGAUCAUUUCCUGUACUAUUUAAUUCAACAUGAUGUGAUUUUCUCUCUCCAGUGGAUUCAGUGUCUCAGUAAGGCAAUAAGACACAAACAAACCAUACCUUGCGAAAAUGCUUUGUGAUUAUUUGGCAAGGCAUCUGCAGUAUAUGAGGGACUGCUAUUAAUAAUAAAAGUAUGUUGCUGAAAAUAGAGCUGCAAGCUAUAAGGGGAGGGGAAACCCAAAGGAAUUACUGGGCCUUAUUGCACCAUAUUUGGCUCUUCCAGCAAAGUAGUCGAAUGUGCCAAAUAUGAGUAAUUUUUAAACAAAGAAAUCUAUGCAUGGAUUCUGGAUUCCAAAGGGGGAAACUAAGAAAAUUGAAGUUGGCAAUGAAUGCACAUUUGUACAACUAAUGGAUUCUUUUCUUGUUUCUGGCCUCUCAGUUCCUAAAGCUUCUGAGAGGCAGCAGAGGGGUGUUUUCAGCAGGCUGCCUUAGUGACUGGCCUCUUUUAGCAUUAGGCUUAUUAACAGGCCUCCACCUCUCAGAUAUUUCAGGGCAUAUAUGGGUUUUCAGUAGCUGUCUUUCUAAAGGAAAUGUGGGGAAACUGUAUGAUACUUCAAAUGUGUCCCUGGGAAUUUGGUACCACACAGUAGAGAACCCUUGGCCGCUAUCUUAGGAACAGGAAGAAAGAGUAAGUGGCCACUUACUCUUUCUUGCCAUGGGAUGAGAGAGUACAGAUGAGCACUCUGCCUUACAAUUCUAAUAGCCAAUAUCUAUGGCUUUAAAGGAACUAUUUAUUUUCAUAGUGGAUUUUGGUCCACCAAGGUAAAUAGAUGAAGCUCACUUUUGGAAUGCAUUUUAUCAGGUUUCCGGAGCUACUUUCUUCCUAUUCAGCAGUAGAGAUAGAUCUGCAUAUGGCUGUGGAUGAACCUGGACAAAGCUUUGUGUUUGCAUGUUCCCCUCUUCUCUUCAAGCAUGACUGGAUGGAGUUUAGUUUAACUUUAAAAAAAUAAUAAUCACAGUUUAACAUUAUGUCUGGACUAGAUACCGUAUCUUGGGUUUAAAACAAACCCUGGUAUGUUUCAGAACAAGCAGACUUCAAAGGCCCAGGGUUAUGAAACUGGUUUGUUAAACUAACCAUUGCUUGUUGGAAAUCAGGGCCCCUAAUUUGAAUGGAAUGCUAAAUCAUGAUUGUGCGAAAGUGAACGAAAAUGCUAGCAAAGGGAAUUUAGGAGUACAUGAGUCUGAUACUUAUUCGCUCAGGGUUGUUUGGGCUCAGCCACAAAGGAGUAAACCACCGUUUAGCAUUGCGUGCAAACAUGGCCAGAGAAUUCAAGCCUGGAGAUUGUGAAACUAGUCUCUCUAACACUUGGAGACUAUGCAGAUUUAAAUGGUAUCUAAAGAAUAAUCCUGAAAUGAGUUAGGUGGGAAUAAACAGCUAACCAAAUCUCACAUAAAGGGGCCUGUACUGGAACUAGGCUCUUGUUUGUGAAUUUACAGUCAAAAGAUUCUUCUUUUUUUGCAAUCCAUUCUUGUUCUGCAUCUUUUUAAGACUGAUGAGCAUAGCAUUGUGUUGUUUUUUAAAACAUUUGGAAGCAGUAUAAUCUUCUAUCUCUGCACUGCCCCCUUAUUUAGAUUAAAAUCUUUAAAGAGCAUUUGAUAUGGUGACCUUUGGUUUACAAAAUAGAGACUUUAGCAAGGAAUGCUGAUUGCACAUUGGCUGCUGCUCUUUGGACCAGACUAAGGCUAUCAAGAUAAAAAUGUUAGGACACAAAAUCCUACAGAAAUCUUAGGAGCAGGCAGAGCUGGUUCCAAACUCUAUUUUUUUUCUUAAAGGAAUGGAAGGAAAACAAUAUAUUCUGAAACAGUCACCCUGUGGCAAACAUCCCACCACAUAUAACUUCUAGGCUUGCUAUUUUCAUACUACUUUUUACAUCGAUUUGCAUCAUAGCUUACUUUGAGAAUGAUCACUGUUUCUAUUUAUUAAUUCUUGCUUUGUGCUCCUAAACUGUUCAAAGAAACUGAAAUCAUGCAUGCACUAAGCACCUUGAAAGAGAUUAUUAAUAAUAGAAGCAGAACGCGUUUAAAUUCAGAUUAUUAUUUUUUUUAAAGUCAAAUGGGAUAGGAAAAGAAGGCAAAGAAGCAUAUUUCGUUAUUCUAGCAAGGCAGACUGAAUUAACACAAAUAAACAACUUUGUAAGAUAAAUGGACUCGUUCCUUUGGAACUUUCUUCACAUAUUGACCGUUGAGAUUAUGGCUCCUAUCACAUGAUUAGAAACAUGUUGUGCAUUUUCUUUUUAAUCUCUGAAGAGCCAAGAUCACAACCCAAGCCCUGCUUGUGACAUAGCAUUGCUUGUGCAGGUAGUCUACUUGCAUAAGUGGUGUAAUUUACAGAUAAUUCAAUAUCUAAACUAAACUUUGCCAACCUGGUGCCCUUCAGAUGUUUUGGACUACAGCCCCAACAAGCCGCCUCCGAGCUUCAUGUUGGCAAAUGUUAAUCUAAAUUUGCUAUUAGGCUGUUCUCUCUCUUUCACCAGUAAACAGGGUGGUGUGGCUGAUUCUCAUGUGACAAAAUCACACUGGAGAUGUGCUGCCUGAUGGGACAGCGAUGAGCCAAGCAGCUGUGGGCAAAAAGGUACGCUUCAGGUGUCAACUGCAAACAAUUAAAUCCCCUCCCCACAACCAGCAUAGAGCAAAAUGCCACCACUGUUUUAGAUCUCAUCCAAUGCACUCUGCUUUUGCUUGUGUCAUGGUUGUGUGUCCAAUCUGUCUGCCUGGUAACAAGUAGGUGCACAGCUGAAAAAAGACCUUCCCCUAGUAGUCACCGCCCAUCUGAAGCAUAGCUGUCAACGUUUCCCCUUUUUUUAAGGGAAAUUCCCUUAUUCCGAAUAGGAUUCCUCGCAAGAAAAGGGAAAAGUUGUCAGCUAUGAUCUGAAGGACCUUAGUAGAAUCUUAACAUCAGGCAGGUACAUAUGGAAGUAGGCACUCUGAGGUAAAAGCAUCAGAAAAUAGCCAAGCUGUUCAACCAGAUUGCUAUGGGAAGCCUAUCAUAUCUUAAGGCUAGGUAGAAAUUUUACAGUUAAAACAAGUAUCUUGAACUGGAUUUAGAAAUGAACUGGUAGCCACUUGGAGAACUGGUGAAAUAUGUUCCCAGUAGACUGCCUUGGUUAGAAUCCUAGUAACCUCUUAUUGAAUCAGCUUCAGUUUCCAAAUUGUAUUCAAGGUAGGCACUAUGCACAACACAUUAUAGUAGUCUAAAUGGAAGGGUCCAGAGCAUGGAUCACAAUAGUGUAGCUGUUCAUAAUUACAGUAAUUAUUUCUAUAUUAUUAUUAUAGUAAUUAUUUCUAUACUUGCAUAUAUACAUAUACAUUAGAAUAUGGAAAUUUUAUUCAAAUCAGUAUCCUACUCUCACCUCUUUUUUGAUGAUGCAUUUUCUCUUUUUUGGCGACAUGUAAGUGGCCAUGCUUGGAUUUCUGUCACGUUCUAAUUUCAUUCAUCAUCUCAGAAGUGCUUGGUGUCCUUCAGUUUAGGUGCAGAUGGGGGAAGAAGGUCACAAAUUUCAACAGGGAAAGUUUUCCCUUUCCCAAAAGAAACAGCAAUUCCAUAGUGUUCCAGAAAUAUUUGUUAGAGUAAUACAAAAUGUGAGAGUUGAAAGCAUUCCAUUACAGUAAUAAUGAUAUUAAAGAAUUGGCUACUAGUCUCAUGAUUCAUGAAACAAUAAUCAAAAGAAAAGUUUGUUUCAGUAACAAAAACUUGCUAGAAAGAAAGAAACUGGAAUUCUAUGAACAAAAUAAAUUCUGUUCUUCUCAGAUAACGUGAAAACUGAUGUCACUUCUAAUUCUCUUGAGGGAAAAAUGGCUACAGUUAGAAGUACAUCAAUGCAGCCAUUUAUUACCCAGACCAGUCUAUAAAAAGACAUUGUGUACAAGUUUUCACUUUCCAUGCCAGAAAUGCAUUCCUGGAACAUAACUGCAGUCUUUUUUUAUUUAGUAAUUUAGAUAAUAGUUUCUCCAUGAACUUUCAUAACAUUUAUUUACUACCCUAAAGGAUUCAGUCGAGUGCUUGUGGAAUCCUUUAGCAUCUAACAUUUUCAUUAUAUUAUAUAGGUUCAUGAACCUUAUGUGGAAAAUAAUCUUAGUAGGCAGAUUUACAUGAAUUUACAAGCUUUACGGAGAAGCACAGAGGAGAGAAGUAUGUAGGAUUAUAUCAAGGGGAAAUGUGCUGGCUGGAACAAUUGUGGGAACAUGAGGAAGGGGAGGCAAAGGAUGCAAACAAUUAUGAAAUCCAGUGGUGUUCAUCCACCAGCAGAAUGGACUUUCCUCUGGUGGUUUGGGGUUAUGAUUAUGCUUCCAGAGCAGAUUUUGGGCAGAGGGUUCCAGGGGGAGGAAAGGAAUGGAAAAGAGCAGAAGUUCACUUGCAUGAUACUAGAUGUUGCGUAUUGAGUUAUUGGGUCAAGUAGGACUCUAGCAUUUUGCCUGCAUAUUAUUAUCAAUUUUAAAAUCGGGAAAGGUUGGGAAAUGAAGCUUCUCACAUGCCAAAUGAAUUAAGUUCUUUAUUUUGCAUUUUAUUUAACAACCUCUAGGUACCUGUGAGAAACAAUUAAAAUGUCGUCUGACAUCUUCCCUAACUACUCCUGUAUAUAAUAGCUUAUAUAUCUUAUAUAUCCACAAAUCCUUUUCUAUCUGAAUGAAAGAUGUUCAGACUAUUAGGGCUCCUUACCCAAUUUUAUGUUUAAAAAUCCCAUUGUUAGUUCUGGAAAGCAAUUAAAAACAAACAAACAAACAAAAAACCUUCGACCUCCCAGAGCCCUUUUACUUUCUUAAUUAAAAAAAACCCUCCCCAGUUACUUUAAUUUUCAAUUUUAGCUCUAUGUCACUAGUUUCUUACUUUGCUUUGUUUUGUGUUCAACACAGAUAAUUAAUCCAUAGAUAAGUAUCCAUGAUUUCUUUAAUGAUAUAGCUAAAUUAUAUAGUUUUCAGGCACAGUACCACACCCACACCUGGAAGUUGCUUGUAUUUACAUGUUUGUAUCUUUAACAUUUUAUUUUAAAUAUCAGAUACUGUACUUCAUUAAUUUAUUUAAUCUUCUGUAAAGUAGAUUAAAAUAAAUGUUUAAGAAGCUGGUUUCUCAUAGAGGCCUUGUGUAUUUUCAAAAUCAACAUGAUAUGAUUAGUAUUUAUUUAGGCUGCUUUUCUGAGCGAAUGCCCAUCUAAAGCGGCUUGCAGGCAAAACAGAUAAAAAACAGUACAGAGUUUAGAACCGUACACAAAUUUACUUUUAACACACAACUCAACAGUUGAACAGUGGUACCUCGGUUUAAGAACAGUCCGGUUUAAGAACGAUUUGGUUUAUAAACUCGGCAAAACCGGAAAUAGUGUCUUGGUUUGAGAACUUUACCUCAGUCUAAGAAUGGAAUCCGAACGGUGGAAGGGCACCGACGGUGGUAGGCUGCAUUAGGAAAAGCGCACCUUGGUUUAAGAACGGACUUCUGGAACAGAUUAAGUUCGUAAACCGAGGUACCACUGUAUCAAGUAUCAGGUAUCAAACUUUCUUUCGGUCACAGACCAGCAUAAGAUAAAACAUGAAUAAACUGAACACAUAAGACUUAAAUCAGGCAAGGAAUGAAAAACUAGUAAUUAGUAAGGGACAAACAGUUAAAAGCUACUAUAAGGGAGGGCGCGUGAAGGAGCAGAGACCUUGCAUUUGGGGCCUAGUUUGUGGCGCAAACCAUCCUUUGGUAGCACAGAAUCUAGCAACUGAGUAUGUAACAUAUGGGUUUUCAUCUUGAAGUAGCAGGAAGGUAUAAAGUUGUUCUGUGCAACCUGGGAAUUUAUGUAAUAUAGGCAAGUUGAACCUAGCUGGUAUAUCUGUAUAGUAUUGGCAGUGAAAAAAGACAUGUUCUGUUAUUUCCAGUUGCCCAGAGCCACAUGGGCCUUUCCUCUCCUCAUAUGGUAUCUUCCAAAAGUUGCCUUCUUGGAUGGCUAAAGGGAGGGCCUGGCAACGUACCAGAGUGAAAGCCCUUUGCUGUUUUGGAAUUUCAAGGUUCAUCAUAUAUGGCAUCUGGGAGGUGAAGUGUCUUCUGGUUUCACUGAUUAAAAAUGUCAGGGACCUGGCUAGAUCUUCUUGGCAUUUUGUAUCUUCUACACCCUGUUUGAUGGUUUUUGGGGCUUGUUAAAACCCAAGUCAAGUAGGCUCUGCAGGGUGAAGCCUAGAGUUGUUAUUAUGUUUAUCACUGCACAUUUCCAUGUCGUUCAGAAAUAAUAAUUAAGGGAGAAAGGCCACGCAGGAGGAGAGAGAGUCUCAGCCAGUAAUUUAGUGUGGUGAUCCUUACAAACCCAGUUUCAAGACGUAUGGCAGCAUUGGAGAUGUGUUUAAGCACUUGUAGGGCUGAUCUUAAGAACUUAGAUUGUACCAGUUCUAAUGGUGUGCAGUUGGCAAAGGGGCCUAAUUGGGCACCAUAUACAAGUUGUGCAAUGAAUUUGGCCUCAAAAAGUUUGAGGGCUGCAGGUAUAUAUUGUCCGCCUUUAGUCCUGAGGUACCUGAGUAUUGCAUUUAUGCAUCUCUGGGCAUUCCCUGCAACAUAAUCCCCAUGGGCUUUUCUACUUCCUGAAGAGUGAAGGGUUAUACCCAAAUAUUUGAAGCGGGUGACCUGCUCAAUCUUAUGGCCAUUGAUGUACCAUGAGCAAGGUUUGGGCCUUUUGGCAAUGAUUUUGGUUUUCUGAUAAUUUAGUUUGCUCUCCUUGCAGUAUACUGCUAAUGUUUUCAUGGCUCUUUUAAGGCCUAUAGGAGUUCUUGAGAGGAUUGCUGCGUCAUCUGCGUAAAGCAGCACAGGGAUAGAUAUGCUUUCCUGCUAGUUUUGGAGGCUGUAAGUUCAUGUUGUAGAAGAGAGGUACCAUAUCAUUUAUAUAGAAAUUGAAUAAAAAUGGGGCCAAUAUGCACCCUUGAUUGAUGCCUUUUUUGGUUUGGACUGCGCCCCAUUGGCCAGAUUGAACCCAACAUCGAGGGACCUACCAAUCGGGUGUUAUGGCAGACCAAUCUUACCCACCCACAACACAGGAGGUCAGUCUCCAGGUCUCACUGCAACACUUGCCCUCUUUUAGGGAGGACACAUUGCUGUAGGGUAACCAUAGCGAAGGACUAUUCACCUUACCGACCUAAGGCAUGGUACACCAGGAGAGCCAGUGGAGCAGAUCGGAAACUGCAGAUUGAAUGGUAAGAGUGCACAUAUAUUCCAAUUAAUAGCUUUGGCCCAAACCAUUUAGUGCUUUAAAGGAAAACCAGCAGUCUAAAUUGCGCCUGGAAACACACUGGCAGCCAGUGCAGCAUAUAUAUUUGCAUAUGAACGAGGCCAUACAUACACUGUCUUCUAACUGUAUUUACUCUUACUCCUUACUGCCCAAAUACAUUCCUUCCUUCCUUCCCUUCAUUUCCUCUGCUGCUAAAAACGUAGAUUACGUUCCAUAGGACAGAGAUAAAUUUAUUUAUUUAGAAUGCAAGGGUUCAGUCCAAUCCAAAUACCUUUAUUGUACUAGCUAUUGGCCAUGACAUGCAAGGUUUUGGAAUCAUUCCCACAAAGUCUGUCAAAUCAGAACAGGGAAACUCUUUGCUGAGAUUCACGUCAGAAAAUGGGGUUAUUUGUAUACUGUAUUAAAAACGUAUGUGCUGCAGAGAAGCUGACUGUGCCAUGUUAUUACAGUGAAAAAGAUGUCCCGCAAUAUAUUCAGCAUACUUCAGUAUCACCAUAAAUAAGAAACAAUAUUUGUGGUGACCAUCAAGCGAUUAAAAGAAAAUAAAAGAAUGGAUUUGAGUACUGUAGUUAACAUUAGAUUCAAUCGGAUAGUUGCAGGAAGUUCUGAUUUUCUCUCCCCAAAUUAAUGCUUGCUGGCUAUGAGUAAUAUUAUCAAUAAUUCAUCACCCGAGUUCAUUUCGAUAUGAUCUGUUGAUGCACACCACCAGAGCACAUGGCAGUAAUAUGAGCAUUUAGGUGAUUUACAGAUCUACAAAAUAGCAAAUAAUCAGAAAUUUCUUCAAGUGACAGCCUGCAAGGGCUUUUGAACAUCUGAAAUGAGGAUGUGCAGCGAGAUCAGUAUAUUAUAAAUCACGUUUGUCUUUUUUUAGUACUCUUUGGUGGUCCCAGGGUAGAAGUGCAUGCACUUAGACCAUCUACUUCCAACACUGUUUCCAGUGCCUAAGUGACAGAUUGUGUUUUAUAUAAUGGUGCUCUUUCUAUAUCCUUAUUAACUCUUUAGUCCCUCAAGGCAUUUUACAUUCACUGGUGUACAUCAUGGAUACAGGCACUAUGUGUCUGCAAAUAUUUAUUUAUUUAUUUAUUUAUUUAUUUAUUUAUUUAUUUAUUUCAGUGUCUGUUAAUCCUGAUUGUUGUGGUCUUGAAUAUGAAUCAUUUAAUAAAGCAAACCCUGCAAUGGCAACCCAUUCUAUUGCUUUGUAAUAGUAAUGCAUCUUCAUUUCUUUAUAUGCUGCACUUCCUACAUAUAGCAGUCUCUCCAACUCUGUCCUGUCUGUCCACUCUAGGCUGCUCCGUAGAGUCCCUAAGUACAUGGAGAGGGGUUACGUGCAUGUGAUUGUUGCUAUGAGGUGGGCAAAACCUCUAGAUAGGCCCAAUUUGUCUGCAGACAAAUUCCUCCCUGGCCCUGAAUACGGCAACCAGUUAAUUCCACAGCAAGGUUGUGCUAGAGCACUGCCUGCUUACCUGCAGGCAGGGCCAAAAGAUAUAGGGUGGGAUGUCCGUUGCCGACUAACUGCUCACUCACAGCACUACCGGAAUAUUGUGCUAUGGGGGCAGGUCUAAGUGAAGACUAGCUCCCCUAAGACCACCUCCAGAACCACACCCACUGGAAUGGCCACAAUUGGCCAAUUUGAAGUGCAGUUUUUGUCAGGACAACUCAGAAGACCCUGUAACUGGCCAAGGCUGUUAGUGCCACCAUUGGUCACUUGGGUUAGGACUUCUGCCCACCUGGUUCCCCAAUGAAUUUAUAUAGAGUGUUUGUAUUGCUACUGCUGUGGUUUUAGGCUUUUUUUUUAGUUUAAGUUUUAUUGUACUGAAUGUGUGGCUACUCUGUAAAUUUCUGUGGGUAUUCUGCGAUAGAAAAGUAAUAUGAUAAAUACUGUACAAAACAUAAUAAUUUAAAUGGAGGUGAGAGCAUCCUGUAGAGGUGAUUUCACUUGGUACUAGUUUAGAACCUUUUUUUAUAAAGUGUUACGCAGUGCAAUGCUAUACAUGGUUACUUGGAGCUAUCUCCCACUCAAUUCAAUGGGGCUUUUUAUCUAGUAAGUAUGCUUAGCACGGUGCUAGCCAUUCCUUGAGAAUGGCACUCUGUGUAUUAUGUAGGCAUUUCUUCAUAUAGUUGUACAAAAAGGGGGUAACUCAGAUAAUAAUUUUGUUUAUGGUUUUGCCUUGGAGGGGAAAAAACCAGGGUCCUUGUGUAUUCUGCAAUGUGUCAUGACUAAAAUGUUUGUCUGCCUUUUGCUAGAGGUGGAGAGUGUUUUUGUCUGAGACACAGCUGCAUGAUAUGGAUUAGCCCUAAACAGGACCCAACUUGUAUUUGUGGUCUCUGGUCUUGCUUAAGAACACUUUUGCAAAUAUUUCACACAGGAGGCCUUAUUUUACUAGGGCAUGGAUUCCUUGGCCAGAACUGAUGUAGCCUAAUCAUUAUAUCUUCCACACACGAAAGGACUUCUGCAAUGUCUUGAAACCUGAUGAGGAACUUGUGGUAAAAGCCAAGAAUGUUGCAUCCACGGGUGGGCAUUCUAUAAGAAGAAUCUCAAAUUGCCAUCAUGAAUUUAUAUAUGCAAUGGUGAACACAUUGUUCAAUUUGAUCAGAAACUUUUUUAUGUUCUUGACAUGUGUGGAGAACGUGCCUUGUGCUUUCAUAGUAUGCUUUUCCUUAAGUAAACUUUUUUAUCAGCUGGCUAGGCAAGAGAUAUGCCUUUCUGAGGACAUCUAGGGACAUGAAUGUGGUCUGUAACUGAACUAGUAAGCUAUAGAAAAAGCCGGUCGAUCACAUAGAGUUAUAGACUGAAUUCUCUAAAGCAGCAACUGUGUGGAUUCAAAAUUCGAGACUACAAAUCAAACAGACUUAUUUCUUGACAGUACAAGAUAAUUGAGAGGCCUUAGAUUAGGUAUGCCCCAGGAUGUGUAUGAUAACAUAUGAGCCUUUCUGGAUCAGGCCAAUGGCCUAUCUAGUCCAACAUCCUGUUCUCACAGUGGCUGACCAGAUGUCUAUGGGAAACCUGAAAGAUAGACAGGAGCAUUAUUAUUAUUAUUAUUAUUAUUAUUAUUAUUAACCACCCUGUACCCCAAGGUCUUAGGGUGGUUCACAGAAUAAAAUCAAAAUAUAAAACCACAAAAUGCGUAAUAAAAAUAAAAACAACAACCACCCAAUAACCCCCCACCCCCCAAACCCCCACAUUUUAAAAGGGCAUAGGAUGUUAAUCAAAUCAAACAAAGGCCUAGUUAAAAAAGAUCAUUUUUGCAUGGUAUAAUAAAGGCGAACUUCCCUGGGGAGAGCAUUCCACAGAUGGGGAGCCACUGCAGAGAAGGCCCAUUCUCAUGUUGCCACCCUCUGGACCUCUUGAGGAGGAGGCACACGAAGAAGGGCCUCAGAAGAUGAUCUCAGGGUCUGGGUAGGCCCAUAUGGAAAGAGGGAGUCCGUGAGGUACUGUGAUCCUCAGACAUUUAAGGCUUUAUAGGUCAAAACCAGCACUUUGAAUUGGGCCUGGAAACUAAUUGGUGGCCAGUGCAGUCGGACCAGGAUCAGUGCAAUAUGCUCAUACUGUUUUGCUCUGGUGAACAACCUGGCAGCUGAAUUCUGCACUAGCUGAAGUUUCUGAACUGUCUUCAGAGGCAGCCUUAUGUAUAACACAUUGCAGUAAUCUAACCUUGAGGUUACCAGAGCAUAGACAACAGUAGAUAGGCUAUCCUUGUCCCGAUAGUGGCGUAGCUGGGCCACCAGCCGAAGCUGAUGGAAGGCACUCCAGGCCACCAGAGCCUUGAGUGACAGCAAAGGAUCCAGGAGUACCCCCAAGCUACAGACCUGCUCGUUCAGAGGAAGUGUAACCCCAUCAAGAGUAGGCAAUCUCCUACCCAUCUGUCUAGGGAACCACCCACUAACAGUGCCUCAGUCUUAUUGGGAUUGAGUUUCAGUUUGUUGGUUCUCAUCCAGUCCAUUACUGAGGCAAGAAACUGGUCCAGCACUUCCACUGCCUGACCUGCAGAUGCAAAGGAGAAACAGAGCUGCAUGUCAUCAGCAUACUGCUGACAACGUACUCCAAACCUCUGGAUAACCCCACCCAGCGGUUUCAUGUAGAUGAACCCCACAUUGAAGGUUUCAUGGGCCUGAAAAGCACUCCCCAAGCAACACCCUUUGGGAACAACCAUCUAAGUAGGACUGGAACCACUGCAAAGUGGUGCCACCCACCUCUAGUUCGGAAAGUCGCUCCAGAAGGAUACCAUGGCCAAUGGUAUUGAAAGCCACUGAGAGGUUGAGGAUAAUUAAUAGGGACAUGUUUCCCUUCUCUCUCUCUCGACAGAGAUCAUCUUUUUUUUUAAUGAUAUUUAUUAAAGUUUCAAAAAAUACAAGAAAUACAGAAUACAGAAAAAAGAAUAAAGUUUUUAAAAUAUAACAAAAAAGUAAAAAAUAAAAGGAAACAUACAAAAUAAAACAGUUAAAAAGACAUUAAUUUUCCAUAACCUAUCUUCCCUACACUUAUUUCCCCGGACCUCCUCGUACCUCCCUUUUUUGUAUUCCAGUUCAGUUUGUUAGUUCAGCAAAUCCUUACCAUUAAGCUUUUACCCAAUUGUAAACCUUUUUUUCAUAUCUCUUAAAGCAUUACAGCUAAAAACCUCUUAGUUUCUAUCCAACAUCCUUCUAAAAUUCCUUAAUUUUACAAUAUUUCUGUAAAUAGUCUUUAAAUUUCUUCCAGUCUUCUUUCACCGACUCUUCUCCCUGGUCUCGGAUUCUGCCAGUCAUUUCCACCAAUUCCAUGUAGUCAAUCACCUUCAUCUGCCAUUCUUCCAGAGUGGGUAGAUCUUGUGUCUUCCAAUACUUUGCGAUGAGUAUUCUUGCUGCUGUUGUGGCAUACAUAAAAAAGGUUCUGUCCUUCUUUGGCACCAAUUGGCCGACAAUGCCCAGAAGAAAGGCCUCUGGUUUCUUCAGAAAGGUAUAUUUAAAUACCUUUUUUAUUUCAUUAUAAAUCAUCUCCCAGAAAGCCUUAAUCCUUGGGCACAUCCACCAAAGGUGAAAGAAUGUACCUUCAGUUUCUUUACAUUUCCAACAUUUAUUAUCGGGCAAAUGAUAGAUUUUUGCAAGCUUGACUGGGGUCAUGUACCACCUGUAUAUCAUUUUCAUAAUAUUCUCUCUUAGGGCAUUACAUGCCGUAAACUUCAUACCUGUGGUCCAUAACUGUUCCCAGUCAGCAAACAUAAUAUUAUGUCCAACAUCUUGUGCCCAUUUAAUCAUAGCAGAUUUCACCGUUUCAUCCUGAGUAUUCCAUUUCAUCUCGACAGAGAUCAUCAUACAGAUAGACCAAAGCAGUUUCUAUGCCAAAACCAGGCAUAACAGCAUUCUCCCCACUUGCAGUUCCCAGCAUGAUUCCCCUGACAGUGGAGGUAAAACACAGCCUUCAUGGUUGGUAGCCACUGGUGAGCAAUACAAGGUUUGUUAUUUCAGUGCCUUUGUCUUGAGUAAAUCUCCAAGGGCAGAGGUUGCUUUCCACAGUAACAUAUACUAAAAAUGUAUAGGAGCAAAUAGUAAAUCAGAAGUGACAAUGUCACAGUGCUCAGAGUUUCUUUACUCCCACAAAUGUCAGUCAUGGAAUGAAAAUGAUGACUGUCAGGGGCAAUGGCAUAAUGAUGGCAUCUAACGGUAAGGCAGAGUUAAACAAAUCAAGGCUUACUGGGAAUGAGCAAGCAUGCUGCUCACAUCAUGUCUGUCUCCCCCAUUUGCUGUGCUGGGAAGAAACAAACCAAAGUUUUUGGGAGGAAACAAUCCUUAGUGCUUUUGUGUGAACCAGUCCUCAUGAAUUCUUUCUCUCCAAACAAGCCAUGAGGAUAAGCCAAGAACAGACCAUGUUUCAGGAUGCAUGCUGGUGCCAAGUCCCUUUUCUGAAAAGUCUUCCAGUAGGUCUUUGAGGUGCCAGAACAGCACCACUAUCAGAAAUUAUUCUGCUGGUGUAUCUCUGGGUCUCAUCUGCAUUACUUAACCACUGUGUGUGAAUUUGAUAAGCUAUUUUAAGGGUGUUAAGGAGACCUAAUCUACCUUGUGAUAUUAAACUUUCAGCAUGUGCGUUUGUGUGAAAACACACACACACACACACACACACACACACACACACACACACACUUCAUCAUAGCCAGAGUUCCCUUCACUUCCUUUUCAAUCAUCCACUUACUGUGCAAAAUCACUUUCCAGCUGCUUAUACCCCUUGACAGUUGGGUGUGUGAAAGUACAUCUGUCAGAGCAUUGUAUAUUCAAAGGUUGGCUCAUCUGAUAACAGUUCGUAUUACUAGAUAUGUCAGCUUCUAUUGUGUACCCACAGCUAUUUAUUAGGCCUAUGUAAAAUGUAUUUCCACCACCUCCCCCAAAUCCAAGUAAGUGCUGUUGUCUUUUUAAGUUUAUCCUUUUUGACAGAUAAAAGCUGAACAAGGAUGUCUACACCUAAAAUAAGGUUGUUAUUGCCUCAAGGGAAAUAUUGGAUGCAUGAGAACGUUUUUGCUAAUUGUAGAAUAGAGAGGCCCUUUAUUUUGGCAGGGAAAAGUUGCAGGCUGCUUAUGGCACAUGCAUAUACUUGCAAUGCAAUUACAUUUAGGGUUUGAUCUAGCAUCGCUAGUGUAUGGUGUCUAUAUUUCCCCCUUAAUAUAUUUCUUUGGUGUUCUGUGUAAUACGUGCUAGAUAGAAGGAAUUAGCUUAAUACAAACAGUUCUUAGUAACCAGAUACAGCAUUGGAGUCAACCCACAUUUGAAAUAAAUCCAAACAUUGCUUUUUGUAUAAUUACCAUGUCAAGAACUUUAGAUUAUUUAAAAUGGCAAUCUUUCACCUCACCAAUCAUAAAUCAUGAUAGAGGACUUUACUGUGUAUCUUGCUAUCUAUUACUUGUCAAAUGAGUCUCAAAUCGUUCAGUGUAUGUGCUCUUUACAUUUUUUUAUUUAUUAAUUAAAAAUCCCCUUCAUACCAGUAUUUAAAAUGUAGUGAUGCAAUUAUAAAUUUUAGAUAUUGUACCUUUUGGGAUUUGAGGGGAUUUUUGACAUAUCAAAAUUAUUUUAUUAGAUGAAAUGCUUCUAUUUCAUUAGAAGAAUUAAUUAAUUAGAUGGGGUCUUCUAAUAGUCUAGUAUUAGAUAGCUGUAUUUCAGGGCAAGCACCAAGUUUGAAGGUUGCCUCUCAGUGGUGUCUGGUGUCCAUUAGGCCUGGUAGGUUGGGAGAUUGGGAGACUGAUGGUAGGAGGACCCAAAGUGAAUGAUAGGCAGAGCCAACUAAUUCUAGUUUUAUCUCUGUCCUUCUCCCUGUUGAGUUCUAAAAUGACAACACUUGGACUAAGGAGAAAGCUGACAGACAAUACCACUCCAUUGACAAAUAGAAUGUAAGAGUUGUUGUUUAUUUAUAUCCCGCCCUUCUUCCCUAAGGAGCCCACAGGAGCAGAUACAGUAAUGAAAAACAUUUUUAAAAAUCUAAAGUUUUAAAACUUUCUAAACAUAGUUAAAACAUUAUCUCACCCAGCAAAAAAUACUGAUCCGUCCUCUGUAGUAGAUUUCUGCUUAUGGCUAGUAUGGCAGCAGCCUAGUGAGUAUUAACUACUCAGUGUGUACUUUCAAAUUACCUUGAUGAUGUAAAUUGGGUUUUGAACCCAAUUUCAAAAUGAAAACGUAUGGCUACCUGUAUUUUACCACAAUUACGCAAUGUAACAAUGAUCUGUUUUUGAAUAAUGACAUGUUUUUGUGCAUGGAAGCACCAACAAUCAGCUGUUUGUCGGCACUUGCAAAGUGCUAUGCAUGGGGCUUUGCAAGUGCCACCAAUUAGGUGGCUGGUGGUGCCUGUGACUCUGCCUGUCAGCCCAUCCAUCUCUUUACCUGACCCACAGGUAGGACAGGUAGGCAUGGCUUGGCCGAAACAGCCUCACAGCUCAAAUGGGGAUGCCUAAAUAGGCAAUGGGAACAUUCUAAGACAAAGAUGGAUGGGGGGCCUGUGGUCCUUUAGAUGUUGUUGGACUACAGCUUGCACCACUGCUCGCCCAUUGACCAUGUUGACAGAUGCUGAAAGGAGUCUAACAACAUCUGAAAGGUCGCAGGUUCUCCAUCCCUGUUCUAAGUGAAAAGGGCUUUAGACUAAAUUUAGAAAGCUCCCCCAACCCCCAAAUUAGGAAGAUCUUGAAAAUACAUCAUUUUAAAAACAGCUUCUCAUUGCAAAAAAAUAAAAAUUAAUUCCACCUUGAGAAUGCAAAGGUAUGUAGGCAUCAUUCACCCGAAGGGUAAGUCAAGUUUAUGCUAAUGCACAAUUUUUUUAUGUUAGGCUACCUAAAAUAGAGGCACCUGCUUAAUGCAUGAGUGACUCACAUCCUCCAUAUUUUGCUUAGUUGGUGCUACAUUUUAAAGAGACAGUUAUAUUCAUAUUAGGUCAUUAAAUGAACUAAUUACCAUCACAUUUUCUGGCUGCUGUACUUUUAUUUUGAAACCCUUUGCGUGGCAGUCUGGUUUUAUCUCUUUAAAGCAGAAAUAAGUAUUUGAGCAUUUAUAUAUCCUCAGGUUCCAUAACAGACGUGACAAAGUUUAUUUGUUUGUAUAGCUAGAUACCAUUUAUAUAUAUAAAUCCAUAUCUCUUGGCAACUAGAUUCAUGAGAUAUACCCCCAGGAUACAAAUAAAAGCCUUAGCUUUCUUGUGUCUAGCUGCAGCUAAUUCACUUCUAGUACAAAAAUAUCCUGGGAAUUAAUAAUUCAUAUCAUAGGUACUCUGAAAUUAUAUCAUUGUGAAGCAGAGUCUCUCCACUGGCUGUCCCUACCAUUAUUGCUGCAUGCAUCAUGGUCCAAGAGAUAAUGAAAAGACUACAUAAUGGUUAGAAUCUUCAUAACAUUAGCUUUUGAGCCAGUGCUCAAAUUAGUAGCACUUGCCAAUAUGCUAUUUCUCACUCUGUUUUGCCCUAGGUCUCUUUGGCCAUGGCAUUCGCUCUUUUUUCAUUUACGAAGAAACUAUAAACCUUUCUGUGGAGAGAUCAUAACAUUAGGGUGCAGGUUUUGACUCCAUAUCCAGUCAGAUCUUAUAUAAGAAAAUCUUAAUUUGGCUAUAUACAGUAAGAGUUUUUAUUUCCAAACAACAACUUUUUCAUACUUCCAGCAUAAUGAGAAGCAAGUCUCCAAAAUAAGAAUCAUUUAAACAGCUCUCUCUUUUUAAAAUCUCUAACUGCACCCAUAUAGGAAAUCACAUUUAAAAUUUCAGGAAGUUUUCGAAUCAAUUUGUAAAAGUGGCAUGGAAAAGAUAGGGCUGCUUCUUAGAGAAAGAAAAGGCCAGUCAAAAGGUCUGUAGUGUACAUUCAGGAGCAGACCACAGUGGUUUCUAAGGGAGCUCCUUGGAUUGUAGAUCCAAUAAUUUUAGGGGUUUCCCUGGUCAUGUACAAGAAAUUGGAUGCAGCAUUUCCAGUGCACUCACUUGAAAGCUAGCUAAACCAUGGUUUGGAUGUUAAGUGGAGUUGCCUUGUAAUAGAGAAGGCCACGUGCAUUUCUUUCAGGAGUGGUUUAGAAGAUAAACCAUGCUGAAGUCCAUAGCCUGAUUUGCUUUAUUUAGGAAGAAGUAAGAAGGAUUUCCUCCCCAAAUGAGAAUUGUCUGCUUUUAUGUUCGUAUUUGUUGUUUUGGUUUUUUGCCUUCCUAGCUAAUAAAUGGAUUUGACAACUUGCUUAAUAGACAUCUGGAUUGUUUGUUUAGCCUAUUUUUUGAAUCAUUAAAGAUAUUUCAGCAUGAGGAAACUUGUUGACUCUUGUUUGGUGCGAGGUAAUUUAUUUCUUCUUCUUGUGCAAUGUUUUGUCACUGAGGCUAAAGCUACAGAAGCAGGAGCUUUACAGUAUUCAUAUGUGUAAGAUUCAGUUUUGGGCAAGAAGGUUGGUCUAGAUUUAUAGGGGACCUAAUACUGGGCUAGGAACUGUUUUAAUAUAUGAUCUUCUAUGUGAAAUGAGUACAUUAUCUCCAGAUAUAAUGAGUCUUCCACUGCAGAAGAUGAGACACAAGAGGAUGAGCAAACCAAUAGUCCCAAAUUAUGUUUUCUGAGAGUUGAUGAAAUUGACCUGAGGCUUGCAGAGUAAGUACACAGCAUUUCAAAAUUGAGCUUAGCCAGAGGGAUUACACACAGAAAUGAGGAAAUGGAAGCAGGUCUCCCUGUCUCUUAAUGAUAGCUUUCAGAAGAGACUACAAGCAGGGAGUGUACAUCAGAAGAAUGUGUCAGAGAAUAACAAAUAUUGGCAAAUGAUCAAAUAUAUUAUGUUAGAGUGAUCACAGGAAGAUGAAGAGUCCAACUAGUGCAGCAUUCUGUUUCAAAGAAUGCACAGCUAGAUCCAAAAAUACAGUAUGAAGGCUACAGCCCUCCCAAUUCUACCCACCCCCCACCAGCAGCUGGUGUUUAUAUAGGUAUAUUGUCUUUGACCAUGGAAGUUCCAUUUAGUCAUAAUGACUAAUAGUGAAUCAUUACAUUGUUCUUUGAAUGAAAUAUAUUGAUAUAUUACUAGGUUUGAAUAAUGGAAGGAAAAGCCUCUAAUAUUAUUGCAGCAGAACGGUUUAAGAAAGACAGGGUUGAUAUCAUCCUUUUCUCCUCUUUGCUCCCUGCCCCCACCUACUCUUUCAGGUUGUAUGUGAUUGUUCCGUAUAUUGUUAACAAUAUUAUCAUGCAUUACACCCACAUCCACCCACACCCCACACCAAGCUCUUAAAAUACACUGCUUUAUGCAAGUUAACAUGAAUAGAUGUAAGGGUUUGCCUUUAAACUCUGCGGAGCAAUCCACACCUACAGCCAACUGCAACAUUUUGCACUCUGUUCCCAGAACCUGAAAAGGUACCCCUGUCGUUCAUCAACUCUCCUCACAUCCCACCCACACCCUCACUUUAAAUAUAUACCUUAGGCAAGCUUAGGUGGUAAACUGACCCCUUUAAGCUCACCUAAUAUGUAGAGGGGAAAGAAUAGCUUGAACAGCUGAGAGCGAGAGUCCUGCUAAUUUAGAAAAAAAUAUAUUGUGACUAAUAUAACAAAGACUUUGCUGCUUGUUUUGAAUUGAAGGUUUCUUUUGAUGCUUCUAAUCUCACUGAAGUCUUUAUCACAUGGUUUGAAACUGUACCUCUGAGCUCAGAUUUUCAAGAAAAGUUGCAAAGGCAUUUGGUAGAUAAGUAGUACUCUGUGCUAUGAAUUUUAUUUAUAUCAGCCUACAAAGGGUUUCUCCUUUGUAAAGUUCAGGGAGAAAUGUUCACAGGCUCCAGAAGAGAAAACAAUCUGGACAAAAGAACAUAAAAAUAUGCAUCUUCUUUUCUCUACCCGUGGGCAAAAAAGAAAUAUUGUGCCUUUGCAAAAAUGUAACAGAAGAUGUUGUCUCUUACUCUAUGCUACCUUUAUCUAAGCCACUGCACCAAUUAUCUACUUAACAUAGACCCAGGUGUGCUUUCCCUAUGUGAUGAAGGUUUUUGAGCUGGAAGUUGUAGAACAGCAAUUUAACACAUGCUUAGAUCAGGCAUAGGCAAACUCGGCCCUCCAUAGGUUUUUUGGACUACAACUUCCAUCAUCCCUAGCGAACAGGACCAGUGGUCAGGGAUGAUGGGAGUUGUAGUCCCAAAACAUCUGGAGGGCUGAGUUUGCCUGUGCCUGGCAUAGAUACUACUACUGACCAGGUCUUUAUGUGGUAGCGGUAAUGAAGCUAAGAGUUUUAAUUAAGGAUAGUUUUAGAAUCCGCUUCUAAGUCAGAUCCUGCCUAAAUAUUACAGGUCUAAAUUCCAGCAUAAUUUCUAGAACUGGGUGUGCAUGCAUUGGACAUGGAGGGUUCAUGGAACCUGUGUGCCAGCUCACCCCUGGCCAAGCAUGGCUGCGCUGCACAUCUGCCUGCUUGUGCAGGGAGGAGCCCAUCUGGCCGAUGCAUGCCUUGGCAGGCAGAUCCCGCCUCCCCCCCCCAUGCUGACCAGGUGGCCAAUCAACAAGGAGGCUGGGGAUACGACGGCAAGACCAGGCUGGGCUCUGGGGCUCAAAGACCACCAGGGGCAGACAGGGCAGGAUGGGGAUCCUUUUAUGGAGACUCUUGGUUCAUGCCCCCUAAAAAUUGUGCUCCUGGGGCUACGCCACCCUACUCCCCCAAACACUAUGCCCCUGGUUGUUCCAACACAUUUUAGACCCCAUUGGUCCCUGAAUUUCCCUGAAGAACCAGAAUGGUCUGAAACACAUUGGAUCAACAAGACUUUUUCUUCUCUGCCACUUUUUUGUUUGUUUGUUUUCAGUUAUGUUUUGAGGUGUUCCCAUUUUUGUUGGACCUACUAUAGGCUUUGAUACCCUGAAUAUGGUUUGGUAAUUUGUACGAAAUGUAGCAGGCUUCACUGGACACCUCUAAAGUGCUUAUUAAGACCAAUGGGUCUUAGGAUAAAAUUGCCGACAGUAAAGUAGAGAAGAAAUAGUGUUCUAUCAUAAAUAGGGGUGACUGAUUAGGAUUUUGCUUUUAAACUUUAAAAAAAAAAGUCAAAGGAAUCCUGAGACUUGGAAAAUAAGAGAACUCUUCUUCCAAAAGGAAAAGGGCAAAGGUAGAAAAUGUCACCAUCUCUAUUUCCUUGGUUAAAUCUAGGCAAAAUCCUGCCCCUUUCCUUAUUGUUUACUGAUGUGAUGCACGUUGCCAGAUCUCUCACAGCCUGCUGCAUAUCACCUCAUCUGUUCUGUAUAUGCAGAAGGCUACCAGAGAUAAAACUGUCAGAAUAAAAUAAAUUCCUCAUUUUCUAUAAGCUGUUCUGAUUGUUGUCUCUUUCGAUAGCAGAAGCGCUGUAAAGUUUAUUUGUGAUGGACAAAGAUACUUAGAUAAUUUCUUUUGGGAAAAGAACACCUUUUUUUUUUUGCAUGUGUCACAAGUAAUAUAGUUGGUGGCUUGGAUCUCGUGUGCAAACAGGAUCUGGAGUUGCCUUUGACACAUUCCCCUGUCAGUGAGGAGCCUCCCCAACUGAGAACAACUCUGAUGCUGAGCUGGUCCUAAUUCCAGCUCUGUCUCAAUGGAGACACCAGUGCUGGGACUAACAAGCAUCAUGGACCCAAUUUACUCAAAGGAGUGCCUGUUUGUUUGCCCAGUGUUGAGACUGUAGCUGCUUGCCAUGCAUAUAGCUGUGGUGGCUCUGCUCUUCAAAGCAAGCAGCAGGUGGCAUGUUCAGGUUGGAUGAAGGUUUUAGUUCAUCUGCAUUUCAGCUCUCAUGUACCUGCUGAUUUCUGAAGCCUGUAACUUGCCUUAUGCACCAAUCUUAUCUAAAAAUUGAAGCCUUUGGCAGAACUAGAGUUCUUCAUCCAAUGGGAAGAGCCAGGAUUUAUUUAUAGAAGGAUUUCUGCACUGCCACAUCAUGAGAUACUAAGGUGGUAUACGCUGUUAAAACAUAAAACACAAUCUUUUUAAAAAAUUAGGAAUACAGAUAAUUAAGGUGACUGGCCAAUCAAAAUUUUAAAAGCUGCAAAGGCCUCUUGGAACAAACAAAAAAAAGUAUUCAAGUGAUACCUGAAAGUCAAAAGCAAGCAUGUCUGGUGAAUCUCUGUUGGAAGAGUGUUCCACUACAUGGGUCUGGCAAUACUAUGUAAAUGCUCACAAUUCUGGUUAAGGUCAGUUGGGCCUCUGUAACACAGGCAACAACUAAACAGCACUCCUCUGGAUGAAAUGGAAUGAUGUGUGGGCAGUCCAACAUAAAUCCACCACUAAUGCAAUAUUAUUACAGCAACAGUGACAUGUCCCAGAAUAUACUCACAGACAGACACACACACACACACACACACACACACACACAACACACCAGUUUAGCCAGAAAAGACUCGGGGAUAUCAUUUCCUGGUGAGAAUCAUGGGGGUUGUAGUUUUGUCUUCCUCCUGAACUGAAUUGGGAAGCAGACACUCCCCCAGCAACUAAAAAUCCCAUAAUAUUUGACAGGAAAUGUUUCUUAAUAUACUCAGACCAUCAUUUCUAGCAAAAGUUUCUCCUGGGUUUAGAAAGCUGUGCCUACCAUUAAUUUUGUCUCUUCCAUUUGCAAAUAUGGGUACUGCUUUUUGAUUUCCUUGAGAAGGUGGAGGGGUAGGGGAGGCAAUUUAGCAAUAGGAAUUUCUAGUUUAUUGAAAGCCCUAUACCCUUAAAAAGUUUGAAACCUAAUCAUCUAUAGGCUACUGGGUUUCUAGAAAGAUGACAACAUUAACUUCCUUUUCACAUGCAUUACUGGUUUGUCCUGUUUGGUCUAUUAGUAGUACUGAAAAUAAUAUUUACCAGACUUCUCAAGGUUAUGUUCUCAUAUGAGACAAUAGGAAUGUCUGUUCCUACUAUCUGCCAUGUUUAGACUUAAUUUGGUUUUGCCACCACUUGUUGUGGAUAUGGAGGAAGGUAUGGUUGGUAGAAGCACCCCAGAGAAGUAAAUGUUUACUUAUUCAUAUGCAUAGCUGGAAGCCUAAGCAUUUGUGCUUUUAUUUUGAUUUGUGGACUAAAUGCUUAAACUCUGGGACAGUCUGGAUAUAUCUUUGUCUUAUCUAUCCCACACCAGCCCUUUCUUUUCUCAGUUUUGUUGUUAACUCUUGGCAAUUUCUUGCUUCCUUUCUGCUUAUACUUAUGUUCACAACACAAGCCAGUAUUGCAUGAAUCCUCAGGUCUAGAGGGUUUAGGGCCUUAGAAAGUGGCAGUUUUGCCAGGGUGACCAACCUCAAACCUUUACUCCAGAGCAUGACUCUCCUAAGUGUGUGGGCCAGCCUAGGUGGUCAUUGUAACAGUACACUGGUACCUCGGGUUACAGACACUUCAGGUUACAGACUCCGCUAACCCAGAAUAAUACCUCGGGUUAAGAACUUUGCUUCAGGAUGAGAACAGAAAUUGCACGGCAGCGGGAGACCCCAUUAGCUAAAGUGGUACCUCAGGUUAAGAACAGUUUCAGGUUAAGAACGGACCUCCCAAACAAAUUAAGUUCUUAACCCAAGGUACCAGAGGUUCAUCCAAGGAUGAACAUGCCUGAGGACGCUCCUUCCUGUCCAGCACCCCAGCAGUACCACUACCAUUGUUCUGGAGGGUUGGGGAAUCAGUAAAAGUUGCUCUCCUUCUGCUGUCAAUCAGCAGGCUCCCUCUGCUGGAUCAACAUUCCCAUCUGAUUAAAAGAAGUCUUUCUAUCCAGAGAAGGCAAACUCUGGCUGUAGCCCUGUGUUUAGUGGCAUAGGAAGGGGGGUGGAGGGGGCGGGCUGCCCCGGGCGCCACUCUGGGAAGGGUGACAAGAUGGCCCCUGCCUCCCCCCAGCUGUAGAGUGGCCGAGGGCACCUGCAGUCCGUAUGGGUGUUGCUCUCGUGCGGCGUCUGUACGACCGCUGCACGCAAGCGGCAUCCUGUACGGACUGCGCAUGUGCAGCAUUCUGUACAGAGUGCGCACGCGUGGGAUGCUGCACAUGCGCAGUCCAUAUGGGCUGGGCCGUCUCAGGUGCCGGAGGGGGUUCCUCCGCCACUGCCAGUGUUACUGAGUUAUGUUGAACAAUCUCUCAAGUAACUAACCUUGUUAAAUUCACUGCUGUAAAAUAUUUACCAAUGCUAAUGUGCAACAUGCUUUAAAUAUUCCUAAAUUAUGUUUGAUCACUUAAAGCAAUUCACUAAAAUUUGGUGCCAGAAUGUGCCAUUACAUAAACCUAAGAGAUGAUUCACACAAACAGCUUUAAAUAGUGCUUAAUUUUUCUAAAUAUCUGUGAGGUAGAGAUUGGUAUUGUAAAUUAGUCAACACACAUUUUAACAUAGGGCAAAAAUACAUGAGCCAGGCUUCAAAAUUCAGUUCAACCUUACCUGUGUUUUAGACUAUGGUUGAAGGUAAAAUAUGUCUAUGUCUUUGCUGCAGUCCUGGAAGAUGGAAUUUCUUAUUACUUCUAAUACAAAUGAUUCCCAGAUGAUUCUAGUAAAAGUUAUACAAGAACAGACCCACUCUUGAAAGAUGAGAGAAAGACCAUCUGAGACAUGCAGUAUUUUUGAACAUAUGAUUCCACAAGAAAUAUAUCCCUGUAGGAGCAGAAAGUUAGUGAUUUGUUUUGGGCUGAAUGUGGCAUAUUCAUUCGUCAUACAUUCUUGAAUCGGAGCAAUACUGAAAAUAUAGGAACAAAUAUGCAGUUGUGUGUUUUAAAUGUGUUCUUUAUGGUUUCAUGAGUGUAAGUAUUAUGUGAAAAUAUGCAUCUGGCAUCUUUUGUUUUGGAGGAAUAAGCACUUUUCUUAACGUACGAAAGCAAAUAUAUUUUAAUAUAUAUAUAUGUAUAUAUUCUGUAUUUACUAGGCUUUUGCAUUUUAUCUAAUGAGAUGCAUCAUGAACCUAACUGACUUCAGACUCACUAAAAAAAAUUGCAGCAGAAAGUCAAAUUUCAAAUUGCAGCAGAAAGUCAAACAUAACCCCUUUAUGUAUUUGGGGUUCUAGUUGGUUCUAAACAUAUGUGAAAGUAUUUCCAUAACAUGGACCACUUCCUUGUCAAUGUGGCUUUUUUUACUACAGCAAAGGGGUUAAUUUCUUUGUGAUGCUUCAUCCCCUUCUCCCCAAAUACUUAAUGUAUUAUUUCUAAUUCAGAAUUGGAAAAACUGCAUUUGGAUCAGUUAUACUGCAGUCAAAUUAAAUUUAAACACUGCAUUCCAUGGCAUUAGGAUUGCAACUGCUCCCAAACAUGGUGAUAACUCAAUCUUAGCAACAUGGCUGUUUUUCCAGAUUUUGAUUUCGGAGAAAGUGUGACGAGUUUGUGAAAUCACACAAAGACAUUAAUGUUCUUCACAGGCCCCAUGAUACUCACCUUGCAAAAAGGUGACAUGCUAAUGCAGUCAUAUGAAUUAGUAGGGACUACUGUAUUCAGUGGGCUACCUUCUAGAUACAUUUGGCGAACCAUAGCAUGGCCACUGUGACUCAUGUAUUAGUGACCUCAAGGUUGGAUUACUAUAAUGUGCUCUGUGUGGGUCUUUGAUUAUGAUUAAUGUUGGAUAAAACCCAUUGAUAUUCUCUUUGGACACAGCUUUGACAGCAAAGCAUUACAUCGAUAGAAAUGAAGUUCUGUGAUAGGUCAGACAUUGUUAUUAGAACAACCAAAAUUCUUCCUUUCCAAGCAAAGGAGUCUAUAGAGCAAUAAUCCUUCAGUUCAGUGAAGCACUUGGCUCUGACUACUGGAUUGAAAGCUAAAGUAGUGGUAUAACUGGAAAUCUAUUUAUACCUAUAAGAUAACUUACCACUUUUAUGGCACAUUGCUUUUAGAAAGUGUUGAAUGGACAUCAUUAAGAACCAAGGCAGGACUGCUCAGUCACACACCAAGGGAACUUAAGUUUGAGGCAUACAAGGACAGAUAUACAAUACUAGCACAAUUGCAGAGAAACAGUGAUGAUUCUAGAAAAUAAGGAGCACACUGCUAACAAUGCAAUCCUAGCCAUAUCUGUUCAGAAGCGGUUCAGUAGGUCUUAUUUAGGGUGGCAACCUUGUUUAUUUAAAUAUGUAGGAUGGACUUAAAUCUAGGUAGGCAUGUGUAGGACAAUACUAUCACUGGGACACAGUGUGAUGGGCUAGUACCAUUUUUUAUGACUUUUGGAGGAUGAAAAUUUUUAAUGUGAUCAGAAACUGAGGCAGACCCAGUGACAUGUAUAUGUCCAUAGAUCAUAAAAGUCCAGAGGUAACAGGGCUGCUGCAACAACCUGUGUUGUGUUGGACCAUGAAGGAGUGACAAGCUGAAGCAUUCCUUUCAUUCCUUCUCUUGCAGGUCUGAUUUUAUAGAAUCAUCUAAUUGUAGAGUUUGGAGGGGACCCUGAGGGUCAUCUAAUCCAACCCCCUGUGCAUGGCCAGCACGGUUUGAACGGAGGCUAAGUGCUCCUAACAAAGGAGGAUCUGUAAACUAGAGAAAAGCUGAUGUCUGAAACAUUUCAGAGUUUAAGUCCUCCUUAAUUCUCUUGAGUCUGAUAACUGCAUUUUUUUAAUAAAAAGAAAUACAUGGUUGGUAUUUCUCAAUGCUGGAGUCCUCCCAUGUUUGUGUCAUCAAUAGAGAAUAGCUAUUAGUAUACACAGUAGCACUUCCUUCACCUUGCCCUUUCAGUGAUCCAGGUCAUCACUUGAAAAGUUUAGCUUUUGGGAAAUAAGUGCAGAUGUUUUGUAACUUCAGCUCAAGGCCUUUCUUUGAGGUGACACUCAUGGGGACAAGGAAGUGGAACACACACUUAGGGACAUGCUAAUUUCCCUCAUCCGAGCAAUGCAGUUUCCUUGAAGACUAGAAGCUGUUAUUCUCGUUUCACACAUAAAGACUAGUCUCAGGUCCCAAUCUCAGGAGUGAAAGGUCAGUAAUUUCUUGUCUUACCAGCUCACCCACCACAAGCUGAAUGGCUCUCUUUGUCAGUUACAGCCUGAUCCUCAACCUUUUUAUUCAGAAGAAAGCCUCACUGAUUUCAUUAAGACUUACAUGGGCGUAUAAAUAUUAUUAGGACUACAGUCUCAAAUUUUUGAGAUUUAAAUCUGAAAGAGACACAGAAAGAGACUUUAUAUAAUCACCUUUUAAAAAAAUAGACAUGAACUUAUUUUACUGGUGGUUAUUUAUUUAUUUAUCAAGUUAGAUAUAAGAUAUUAGUCCUACAAAACACUUAAGCAUGUUUGAUGAACCUAUUAAAAUUUUUGCAAAGUUUUUCUUACACUCUAAGACUUAGCAGACUCUAUUAAACUUCAAACCAUUCCUAGCAUCUGUGCUGGUUUUGUGUGUGCAUCUAUAUAACAUUUAUAUAUAAAAAGUCAUACUAGAAGUAUGCAGCUUUUAAAAAGUAUGGUAAAUGCAGCAUUUAAUAUAUGUUUUUCUCACUAGACCUCAUGUCCUUUUUAUUCCUUUCAUUUUUCAGACUGGCAAAGGAUAUGAUUCUUAUGGAAACUUGGCUUCAUGAUCCUAAGGAAAGCAUAGUUUAGAUAAUCACAAGUAUUUACAUAUGUAUAAGUGAAAUACCGACUAAGCUCUCAGAUUGUGCUUCGGGGUAGACAGUGGUGCCUCCCCACCCCUCUCAGUUCCUCUUUUCUUUUUUUGACAGCCAGUUAAUAAAGACUCAACAAUAAGCAGCUGCUUGUGAUGUCAUUUGGGACUUUGUCCACAGAGCUUGUAUUUACAAGCACAGAGCAGCAGAAAAGCUAACUGGCAGCAAACUUCAUGCCUGUAGUUACAGUAGGACUUUCAGCGGUGCUCUUGAUGAACUUGAGAGCUAACUCAGUACUGCUCCUCACCACAGAUUUUUAAGGCUUGGUAAAUAAACACAGCAUCCACUCGAGCAAUUUCUAGACUGCUGAAAACUUUCGUAUGGUUUGGAUUUCUCUAGUACGGGAGCAUGUUUUAACUGAACAACAACAAGUAAGGUUGGCUGUUCUUACUGCUGUUAUUUCCCUGUUCUAGAAUUCUAUCAGAUUAGCACAGCUUUCUUUCUUUAAAUGUUGCUGUAUUUAUUAUGUUUCAGCUUCACUACCAAGGUUUGCUUUUAAUUAUAAUAGGAGCAAGUGUGCUGCUGUUAGGCGGGAUUACAGCAAGGCUUUUCAAUAUGCUUUAUGCAUUUGCUCAUAAAAUGGGAAUGUUUGGAGAUGAGCGAGAAUUCAAUUCUAACUUUUUUGUUUGCAUUUUUAUGAUGAUAUUAAGCUGCCCCUUUUUCAAGUUCCAUCCGCUUACAGUUUUAAGUCUAAUAUCAUUGUAGAUAUUUUGUCAUCAGCUAAACGAAGAACUUGAAAAUUCCCACCCACCCCUUGUGGCUUCUGUGUUAAUGCUCAGUUUAUGUUAGAAUUAGCAUUUCAAAAUUGUAUUGCCGGCUUCGACAUAACAGACUAACUGGAUCUAACUUGAUCCAUAGUACAGGUUUUGAAAAGUUCGAAAUUUGAAAGUUCAGACGCUGCAAAAUGUUUAACAGCUUGAAGCUGUUUUAGUAGAAGUCCUUUAUGCUAAGAGUGACAGUUUUGGAAUUGGCUGGUUUUUACUGAGAACAGAAUGGGAUGGAGCACAACCAUGGAAUCAUUAAUCACAGUAGUCUCUGGCAGCAGAAGGAAACAUGGGUUUGUAACUCUAUUUCAGAGAAGAGCAACCUGUGGCCCUCCCAUAUGUUGUUGGACUCCAACUCUCAUGAGCCCCAGCCAGCUCCAACAUCUGGAGGGCCACUGGUUCCCCAUCCUUGCUUAGAAUUUAAGAAUGCUUGGCCUACAUUCAUCAACGAAUAUACAAACAAAGGUGCAUAAACUAUUUAUCGUGUAAUAAAAGGGACAGUGUGAAUCUGCCAUUCCUUGCUCUCUUACAGGGCAAGUCUUACAGGAGAAUCCUAUGCAGUCUGGCAUGCAAUUACCGUAUUUUUUGCUCUAUAACUCACUUUUUCCCUCCUAAAAAGUAAGGGGAAAUGUGUGUGCGUCUUAUGGAGCGAAUGCAGGCUGCGCAGCUAUCCCAGAAGCCAGAACAGCAAGAGGGAUCGCUGCUUUCGCUGCGCAGCGAUCCCUCUUGCUGUUCUGGCUUCUGGGAUUCAGAAUAUUUUUUUUCUUGUUUUCCUCCUCCAAAAACUAGGUGUGUCUUGUGGUCUGGUGCGUCUUAUAGAGCGAAAAAUAUGGUAAUUUCCAAUGCAUUCAGUAAGGCUUACUCCUCAAUAAAUCAAAUAAUUAUGUUCUUAGGAUCCAGUCCUAUGCACACUUACGUGGAAUGAAGUCUCACUGAACACAUUCUAAAUAAACAUGCACAGGUUUGUACUGUUCAUCUGUAAAGCCACCAUUAGAGUCUGGCUGUCAUGAAACUUCUAUAGUCAAUAAACCUACAUUGCCUUCUGGUUCCUUCUCAUGCUGUUCACUCUCAUAGCAACUGUGAUGCAAUAGCAGUUGCUGACAGAUAUAAGAAGAGGUGGUCUGGAUUUCCAUGCAUGCCUCAUGGUCUUCAAAUACUUUCUCCACAACCCUCCCUUAGAAAUAAAAAAUUAAAUAAAUAUCAAAUUAUUAUGUUUGAGAAUGCCUUCAGCUUCUCUGUUCUAUUUUCAAAAUAGUAACAUCCAUUUGGAACAAUUUGUUCACAUAUUUUCCAUUCCAUUACCCAUCUUUUAUCCCUAAAGAAUACUGGGUUUGGAGGCUAUAUUUAAGGAGAGUUAGGUGGUGUACAGGUAUGGGUGUGGUGUACCCUCAAGCCUCAGUAAAGCUGAAGUUUCCUUAACCUAGGCCCAGCCAACUCAUCUGUGAUGCUUAGUGAAAGUCAUCAUUGUUUUCCAGCUGCCCAUUAUGACUCCACCCAGACUUUACUGCCCAUUGAUGCUGUCAAGGAGAAGUUCCCAGUUUAACCCAGCUGUGGUUUUAAUAUAACAUCUGGAGGUAGACAGGAAAAGUUUGCUGCACCAGCUCCAGGCUGAGUCAGCAAAGAGGUCUAGACUGGGCUCCUUGCUACAACCUGCUGGUAGGUCAGCUAGCUUAAGAUCCAACAAACCUUUGGCCAACUUAGCUCUGUCUCUUUCAUCAAAACACCCUGUUUCAGGGGCUUAGCCUGGAUACCAUUGCUGGGGAUACCACUGGCAUUGGUGAGCAGAGUGGAGACCUCUGUGACAGUGGAGCCUACCUGCCAACUGAGCCUGGUACAGCCAGGAGGACCUGGGUGCAAGUAUGCCAGUCUCACUUCAGCCUCUUCCAGCACGGCAGAUUAAGGGGCUUGGAUUGCUCAUCCUAUGUAGACUAGAAAUGCAAAAUCAUACAAUGAAAGCCAAUGUUAACAUGGUUUCAAGCAUGAAGCAGCAUAUUUCAGUCCAUGCAGCGAAAUACUAUGCAAAAUAAAAAGAGAAAAUUACCCAUAGCUUUGUUUAACAAUGGCUCAUACCUUGUUUAAUGAUGUGUUUCAUGUAGUCUUCAGAAGCCCCUAUUAUUUUCUGCUAGUGACAUAAAAUUAAUCAAUGUGCAUUGAGAAGUGAAAAGGCUUGUGAUUUUAUAUAUAUAUAUAUAUGAGAGAAUAUAUAUGAGAGAUUAUUUAUUUGGACUGAUGCUAAGGUGUUCUGCUCCAAUAUGGUGUAUGCUGUGGCAGAAGGUGCCGUACAUUGUUGCGGAAAUUGCCUGUGAGCUGUGAAAGAUGUGAAUUCUAUGGCAAAACAGCUUGAUAAUAAAACAGUGGGUAAACAUUAUGUGCUGAAAGAUGGGCAUUUGCAAGGAAGCAUUUGGAGAACAAAUGUUUCUGUUGAGCCCCACGUUUUGAUGGGCUUUCUACUAAAGUCUCCUGUUUGUUUUCACAGAACCAGAUGAGACUGGGAUGGUGUGCACACACAAUAGAUCUUUGCAGCUGGAAAUCAGCGUCACAAAUUGUUUUCUUUGACAGUGCUAAUUGAUUACAAGGGUUUAGCCUUAUCUAAAUUGUUAAAUUCAGCAGUGUCUGUGCUUCCCUUUUCUUUUCUUUUCUUUUUUGCACAGACAAAAUAAGGAGAGUUAAUAACUACAUAAAGGAACAUGGGCAAACAAUAUUUGCUACCUUUUAAAACAAAAACAAAGCCAUAAAUUGUAGAUGUGGCAGUGUGAGGAUUGACUGCCAUAGGAGAGAUGCAGAAAAACUUUGAACAGCGAAUUGUGUUUUUCUAGGAAAUUAAUAGUAAAUCAUGCCUUUUGGAGAACUGACAGUAUCAUGUGUGAGGUCUGACUGGGAUGCCCCUGAAAGCCUUUUAAGCUAGAGUGUGUAAUAAAGAGGUGAGACAUGAAAAUAUGAAUUGAAUGAGGGCUACAUUUAUUGUUACAGAUCUCAGCAGAGGGAAAUAAGGGUGUUGGAGAAAAUCAGUUGCAUGUUGCCUUGCGUGAGCUGUCCUGCCCAGGACAGGAUGCCUGGCAACAUCAUAGCCCCUCUGCCUUUAAGGUGUGUAGGAAGGCUUUCUUACCCCUACCCUGGGCUCACAGAACUCUGAGUGGGUGAAAUCAGGCUGCUUAAUAGGCACUCCAUAUCCAACACACAGGUCUCAUGGCCCAGAGUGGCUCGCAUCCAGAAAUGUCCAGCACCCAGAAAGGGACCACCAGGUACUCACCUAUUCACCUCACCACAAUUCUAUCCUUGCACCUUUCUGCCAACUGGGACCAGAUUACUCUAUUUAACAAUACAGUCAUACCUCGGGUUGAAUGUGCUUUGGGUUGAGCACGUACGAGUUGCACUCUGCGACAACCCGGAAGUAACGGAGCGCAUUACUUCCUGGUUUCACCACUCACGCAUGCGCAGAUGCUCAAAAUGGCGACAUGCGCAUGUGCGGAAGCAGCGAAACACUACCCACGCACGCGCAGACGCGCCAUCACGGCUUACGUUGCGUUCAGGAUGCAAACGGGGCUCCGGAACGGAUCCCGUUUGCAUCCCGAGGUACCACUGUACACACUGGCUAGUCUCAACCUUCCCAAAUGCAUACAGCAUAGAGUAGGCAGUAUAGUGAAUCAGAUCAGUGCUGUGCAGCAAAAGGGGCUGAAGGAGGCAGCACAAGGGCUUAUAUUAGCAUGGCUCAACUUUUCAUACGAAGUGGGCUGCAAGUGUUAUUCAACACAGAACCCACGCCUUGUUAGGCAGGCUGUGGAGGCCAAAAUUUGGCACCACCCCAGCCCUUGCACUGCCUUCCCAAGCCAGAUAAGCAAGGUGUUGGGUUUUGUGAAAGAGGCAUGAGGUAGGGUCCUAGAGCCCUACCACCAGUUUCUGAAAGCUGGGAAAGUGCUAACCAGGCCACACGUUCGACCACUCUGGCUUAUAUAUACUGACUCCUCCUUCAACGUUGCUCAAUGUGCAGGUGCACAUGGAACAUCUCCAUGUCAUGCCUUUCCUUCUAGCCACAUAUGAUGCGUCUGCUGUCAGCCUUGCACUGGCAGUUUGAGUAGUUUCCUGCUAUAAAUAGACACAAGUUCAUUUGUCACAAUGGUUUGCACAUUGGCAUUAUUGUUUCUUCUGUACUGGUGUUUUAACCAUUAUUCCCCAUAGCAAACACAUUUGUAUUGUUUGGAUGUAAUGAUCGUAGCUCAAUAAACUAUAGAAAUGAACACAUUUCUAUGCAGUCAGGAAAUGCAUAUGGUGGAGCUGGAGCUCACCUAUAUUUCCAAGUGUUCAAAAGACUUUGGGGCACACAUUUCCCUCUACAUGUGACUUGCUUCCUGCAGGAAACAGCUGUGUAGGACUGGUGUAGUUGUAGCAAACAUGAUUGCUGCGGAAAGUAUAAAGCAGCUCUGAAGGCAGUGGUGUUAUUUAAAUUAUGUGGUGUGUUAGUAGUAAGGAAUUGUAGUUUAGCCAUUCAUGAGUUGCUUCAUAGAAUAGUAUAACCUUCAACACACACACCCACUCCUGAAAUGACUUCAAAGGUGCAUUUGCAAAAUGAAAUGGAAGUAAUUAUUAAACUUUUACACUAUUUACCCCCAUGUGUUUCCCUCUUGUUAAAGUUCUAGAAUGGGUCUUCUAAUGUAUACACAGUGAAAUAACUUAGCUUUAGUACAUAUCCUUAAUUAAAAUUAUACUUCUUACAUAAAUGAGCAAUGUCUUAUACUGGUAAGAUUUGGGGGUGAGUUUUGCCAGUAGAGGGCCAUGUAAAACUGAAUAAUAUCAGAAUGGACCCUUUUAGUGAGCUGCAGUUUUUAUGAGGACUUUAAAGGACAAUAUUUUUGAAGGUUUUUUUUGGUAAUUUUGAUAUUUUAUAUCAAAUUAGACUAUUAAGCACUAUUGUCCGCUCAACUUUUUUAUUUCAAUGGCAGUGAAGUAGUAGACUGAUGCUUUUUUGUUUAAUCUCAGCUCUUAAAGUAGGCUGAGGAAUUUUUCAGACAUAAGUAACAGUUUCAGUCAUCCAUCAUCCAUAAGAUAAAAGGAUAGCUAGGUAGACAGAUUAGAAAAUGAUGUGUUCAGAAUACACUGAUAAAAUGAGAAAGUGGACAUUUUAGAUCAGCAAACCAUCUUUAUAGUAAACAAUUCAACCCAAAAAUCCACUAUUGAUUUCUUUCUUACCUAAAACCUGGCUUUUCUGAAUGUGUAUGCUAUGUUCACAUUUUUCUGAUUGAACGUAAAGGGUCAUUCAUUACCCUCUCAGUUGCUUGUCCUUUGAACAGGUGUUAAAGGAGUAAGCCAAAGGGUUCCUCCUCCACAGCACCUAAUUAUAACUGGCACAAAGGAUUAACAGAUGUUAUAAUUGUCCUUAUACUUUGCUGAAAUGGGUUUCUGCAUAAUUUGUUUUCCCGUCUCUCACCUGACAAUACCAUUCCUGUAAGGCUGCAUGGACAAUGGAGACAUGCCUUCAAUUUGUUAUCAGAGCUUGUUGUACAGUCUUGCAAUUUAUGUUAUAUUUAUUUACAUUUUUAGCAUAGUUUUUGUAUUAAGCCAUGCAGAGAAAAAGAAAACACAUAAAUUGCCAGCUUGGAUUCCCCCCCCCCCCAUGUAUCACAUUGUUAGCCUCUGAUGCUCAGUAGCUAAUAAUGAGACAUACAGUGGCACCUCGGUUUACGAACUUAAUCUGUUCCGGAAGUCCGUUCUUAAACCAAAGCCGUUCUUAAACUGAGGUACGCUUUCCCUAAUGAGGCCUCCUGUCACUGGUGCCCUUCCACCGUUCGGCUUCUGUUCGUAGACCGAGGUAAAGUUCGCAAACCGGGACACUACUUCCGGUUUUGCGGAGUUCAUAUACUGAAUAGUUCGUAAACAGAGCUGUUCUUAAACCAAGAUACCACUGUAUACAGUAGAAGUGUUCACCAACAACAAGAUUUAGCUCAGACCCCAGUUCAGUGCUUUGGAAAACAACCCACUUCACUCUGAGACACUUUGUACACUGCCUGAUUCAGUGGGGUCUCUGCAAGUCCACUUGGUUCCUCCAAUUCACUAUUGAGGAAUGAAAAAAUGGUUAUAUUUUUUUUAUUUACAUUUUUUUAUUUGUAUUUAAUCCUUUCUCUUUAACCAUGAAUUCUAGAAGUUUGUAAUUCUACAGGAUCCCACAGACAAUGCUAGAUUAGGUUUGCUAGUGAAAUGCUUUUGCCAUAACAGCAAUACAGUGGUACCUCGAGUUAAGAACUUAAUUUGUUCCAGAGGUCCAUUCUUAACCUGAAACUGUUCUUAACAUGAGGUACCACUUUAGCUAAUGGGGCCUCCCGCAGCCACCGUGCGAUUUCUUUUCUCAUCCUGAAGCAAAGUUCUUAACCUGAGGUGCUAUUUCUGGGUUAGCGGAGUCUGUAACCUGAAGCGUCUGUAACCUGAAGCAUCUGUAACCCGAGGUACCACUGUACUGAUAAACUCACACACUUCCAUUGUUCCAUUUAUCACUGUAUUUAUUUUGUAAAACUUCCUGACUGUAUGUAAGUGUUCUGUACACACUUUAUAUAUCAACAGAGUUAAGUAUAACUUUCAGUUUAUAAAACAUAAAGUCUUGUGUAGGUGGUUUCAGAAAUCAGCCUUUUAAAACCCCAGAUCUGGAUGCUUCAAAAUGACAUCAAAAUCCCAGGUAGAAGAACAGGAGUUAAGAAUGAAAUUCUGGCUUAACAGCAGUGAUAUGCACAGCAUUUUAAUUAUGCAGACACCUGUUCACCACCAACUUUUAGUAUUUCAUAUAGGUCACUGAGCAGCCAUCUCAUAGUAAUGACUUUCACCCACUGCCAACCUGGACUGAAUCUGAAAUGCCAUUCUUGGGGUUAAAGGCUAAAAUUCCAAUUACCAGAAGUAUGAGGUAUCCAAUUUCCUGCAUUACCACACUGCUGAAGCACUGCUUGAGUGCUCUAUAUGUUUUCAGGAACGUGGAAUCAUGUAUAAAUUAUGACUUAUUAAAAUAUUAGUUGCAUUGCUUUAUGAUUUUAGCAAGUGUUAAUAAUUGAUAGUGAAGGAAAGUCUCAUGCAGCACAUAGCUUAAUAUGUUUAUUCCUGUUGCAGUGUCUAAUACUCAAAGGGAUCUGAGAAAGAGCCUUUGUACCAUAGAGCUAGCAGGGGGAGCAAUAAAACAACAGAAUGUAGCAAGUGAUGCACAACUUCUCGCAUGCAAGAUUCAUUAAUAAUUAUCAUGUGUUGAGUUUCUGUUUAAUAAAACAGAACAUUCAGCACAUUGAUCCAUGGCUUCAUAAAUCAUAGUUUAUGGUUCAUUAAAUCACAGCUCUCUGUUCUGUCCAAACUAAUAUUUGGCUUAAUACAGGUUAACAAACCAAGGUUAUAAAACAGAUUCAGAAAAUAAUCCUGCUUGUUUGUUAACUGAUAAGCCAAAAGGUGGGAUUGUGGCUCAAUAUAAGCCAGGAUUUCUGUACUGAAUCCAGUUUGUGAUGGCAGAAGGGUUGAGCCAAGGAAGAACACACAAUCGCAGCACUUACCCACAACUUUACAAACCAUGGACAAACUUCUGAAUAUUGCCAUUCUAUUAGAGUGUCAUCCAAUAUUUAGAAAACAAGAAAGCUGUUUCUGGCAUUUCUAGAAUAAUGUUGAUUCAAAUCCUUAAUAAACCAAUUGCAUGUGGUCUUACAGAGGAGAAGAAAGCAGAAGUGAGUGUUGCCCACAAUGCAGAUUGAGAGUUGGUAUUCAUAGAUGUGCUAUCGAGGGAGGAUUCCUAUGGGAGCACAAGUAUUAUGCAUCUACGUGCUUUUGCCUUUCUGGAGCACUGACUUCCAUAAGAAUUAACAUGAUUCUACCUAAAAAGAGACUAGCACCUUUUACUAAGCGGAAAACAUAUUAUAGCCUGAUUAAGUUUUAGAAUUCUUGAUUUUAAAAUAGCUUUCUAUCAGCUGUUGUUCUGUAGAUUUUAAUAAUAUAGGGCUGCCAUACAUCCAGAUGUUCUUUGGACAUUACCGAGAUUUCAAAGGCGGAUUUGACAUCUGGGGGGAAUUUCCGAAAUGUGGCGCUCAACAACUUUCGGGGUGUCCUGGUUUUUACUUUUUGAAAUAUGGCAACUCUAAUCUUCUGUUGCUGUAAUCAGAAUAUUCCUAUUACUAUUCCAUUUUCUAUCUCCAGUAAUAUUCACCAUCUGUAGCUCUAAUAUUAUUGUUAAUGUCCUUCACCUAUAUACCUAUUUUUUACCUAUAUACCUAUUUCUUUUCUGUUUCACUUGAAAUGCAGACGAGGUAAAGGAAAUGGGUUGGAUGACACAAAAUGCAGAAGACUUAUGGACUGUAAGUAGUAGUUCAUGAACUUUUUUUUUUUUAAUUUACAUUUUUAUUCAUUCUGUAGCAGAUGGUGAGAAUCCAUCUGCAAUUGCCAGUACCUCUUUGCAAAAAGUAAAGCAAACCCCUCCCUGUGAGCUAGCAGCUGACUGCCUCUGGGGAAAUGAGGCAUUACUGUUAUUUAUAUUUUUCCAAAGCAAACCUCUCAACCUAGUAUCUGUAUAAUUUGGGCCAGACACAUCAAUGCAGAAAAAAGAAAACCAGAAGAGAUUAAGGGGAAAGAAAACCUAUUAUUCCAUCGCUGCCUUUGAUACAUUGCUCCCUGUAGUGUAUUUUAUAGUACUUUAGCCACUGUACUGUUUAAUAUCACAAGUCUUCUACCUUUUCCCUGGAAAUAUGGCACCACAUUUUAUAUUAGAUUUCAUUGUAGAGAGCGUAUCCUAAUCAGUCUCUAUUUCACAUCAGUGCAAUAAUCUUCUAAAGCUUUUUGGCAAUGGUUUACAUCCUUCAAAAAAAUAUAAAAUGGUUAUUUUCCCCCUCUCUCCCAAAGGCCUUUCUUCAUUGUUUAAAUUCAUUACAUCCAACUUUGUUCAACUGUGCUCAUAAGGCUACUGUUAUGGCUGUUUUCCAAAUACCUUUCAAUAUUUCUGAACUUGUGGUCAUUAUUGGUGCAGACUACUUGGAAUACAUGGAAGUGUAUUAUAUGUGAAUUGAAUACUGUUGUGCUGCUGUGCCACCUGGUUCAGCUUUCAGCACAUUUAAAAUAUGCUCCAAGCUGGAAAACACGGCUUCCCCUGCAAUUUCCCAGAUAGAAUCCAUUCAGGAGCCAAUCUCUAGAACAGGGGUGUCAAACUCAAAUUCAUCGGGGGCCGCAUCAGCAGUUUGGUCAACCUCAAAGGGCCGGUUGUAUCUUUAGGACUAUGUGUCCACUCUUUAUUAUCAUAAAUUAUUGUCACUGCAUUCAAUUAUUACUGUUUUUUGUAAUAAUGUAAGUAAUAACUAGCUCUGAAAGCAGAAACAUAGUCAGAAUAAUGGCAAGUAGAUAUUCAAAUGUACAAUUAUUGUACAAUUUAUUGAAAAAUGAUUUUUGAUAACAGACAGUAAUUUUUUUUUAAACAUACAAAUAUUGCCAAACACUGUUUAUUACACAUAUGGCAAACACAAGGCAUUAACUUUUUUUUAACUUUUCUGACUAGAUGGCUGACAUUGUUUUCCUGAGGUCAGUCCAUCGAUGUCUGGCGUUAGGUCUUGUGCUGUAGCAAUCCGCAAAACAGCACGGAGGUUGUUGCUUUUCCUGGUGGCUAAGGUUAGCAAAUUUGGCUCCAUGUUUGGUCUCAAAGUGCCGGCGUAAAUUGUAUUCCUUCAUCACCACCACUGCCUCAUAGCAAAUAAGACAUACCGGCUUGUGUCCAUUAAUCACAAACAUGUAUUCACUUUCCCAUCUCUCCUGAAAUUGCCUUCCCUCUGCAUCAACUUUUCUUUUCUUGGACAUUUUUGGGUUAUUUGAUUGUAGUUUAUGGUCCCUAGACCACUGUAAAGUGACACGGAAGUGGUCAGUAUAUCCAAAGUUUACCGCUCAGACUUUUAAGCAGAAUACUAAGCAGACCCCCCCUAAUAAGCAGACCCCCCUCCCCCCCCACAUUACAGUACAGGAGAGAAGGGUUCAGGCAGCCGUUGGAUCUGUCACAUCACAGGAUGGCAUGCGCUCAAUAUAAAAACAAGUGGAGGUUUCCUGAAUGCAUGUAAAGUGGAGGUUUCCUGUGUAGAACGACCGGCGCCGCUAGAGGGCAGGCGUUCUCUGGCUUGUAGGCUGCCGCGCAUGCGCUGAAGAGGCGGCUUUCUUGUGUAAAAAAAAAAAAGCGAGAAUAAAAGGUGAAAGCUGGCGGCCGCCGGCAGCUACACGGGCCACAUGACGAGGUCUGGCGGGCCGGAUUCGGCCCACAGGCCUUGUGUUUGACACCCGUGCUCUAGAAUGUUUUGUGGUGUAAGUGGUGGACAUUAGAUGUGAAUUCAUAGAUGUGUUACUGGAAAUAAGUGCAAUUAACCUGUAUGCAUGUGUGUCUGCCGUUGUACAUAGGUUGACUUGUUGUCUUUUACACAUAAAAUGAAUGUGUGGAUGAUUCAGACAUUCUUGCUUUUUCAUUAAAUCUAUUGAUUACACCAUACAGGAAAUUGAAUGUGUUUGAGACAUAUGUAAUUGACAUUCAUUUAGGCUUGUAACUUGGUCCUGGCAGGUGGAUACAAUGGAAAACACUCUGAGGAAAACCCACAUGCAAGUUGUUGUGGAUACCAAGUGCAAUGAACAAAUCCAUGAUUGUCAUCUUGUUGUCAUUUUGCUCAAGUCAUUGACAUUUAUAGUUUGCUCAGAUCACAUGUUAAUGAAAUCUGGGGUCUAUCUAUCAUCUAUCUAUCUAUCUAUCUAUCAUCUAUCAUCUAAUCUAAUCUAUCUAGAUCUAUCUAUCAUCUAUCUAUCUAUCUAUCUAUAUCUAUCUAUCUAUCAUCUAAUCUAAUCUAUCUAGAUCUAUCUAUCUAUCUAUCAUCUAUUUAUCUAUCUAUCUAUCUAUCUAUCUAUCUAUCAUCUAUCUAUCUAAUCUGAGCUGCCUUUACUGUAGAGCUUUAAGUACCUUUGAUUUUCAAACUGUUCUUAUUUUACCUCUGUCUAUAAUGGGAAAUAAUUUUCUUUUACAACAUGGGCAGAGAAUGCUCUGGACAACUCAACACACUCCUUAUACUACUCUCACUAGAUUAACCAUGGGGGGAAAACCCUUUCUUUUUUGUACACCCAAGUGUGUAAUGAUUACUGUUGAUCCAAUGCAGUCAAACAAAACUGAUAGCCUUUUAACAUAGCUUGAUUUGCUGGAGUGAUAGGUGGAAAAAUGAAUACACAGGCCACAUUGAAUUAUUUCAAUAUUAACAAUUAGGUCCUGUAGUUUAAAAUCUCAGCCGCUACUGCUUUUGGUUUACAGCCACAGGGUUGGAUCUGGAUUUGUUGUCAACAGAGUUCUGGUCAAGGACAGUCCUGCUGAAGGAAGACAAUUUUCACCAUUUCUUCUUCAACCCCUUGCCCCCUGAAAACCUGUUCAUUGGUUAGGGGGAUUCUCUGGAAUGGGGAAGACGAUGCAGGAAACUGAAAGGGAAAGGGGGAAUUGGUGAAGAUCAUCAUCUCCCUUCCUGCAGUGGGCUCCCUCCACCGAAUCUGAAAGUCCUAUCUGCAAAGAAAAGGAGCCCAUGUACUCAUGGAAGGGCAAUGCUAUUUUUCUAGAAAAAGAGGUGCCAAAACCCUCCACAAAUGCUUCCCUUGUUGUCUUAUUAUGGCAAUGGCACCUACCUGAGAGGUGCCAGAACUGAGUUCCGGUGAGUUCCGACUGGAAAAAAAAACUCUGAAAGGGCAAAUCUGGUUCCAAUCCAUUGCUUUGAAGAACUGAGCACAGCUCUACAGUGACAUGUGGAUGAUCGGUGGCAUAAGGAGAAUGCUGUGUAGCAUCCCCAUUCCCGAAUUCAUCUGUCAUUGUCUCUACAUGCAUCCUCACUUUCCCAGCUCAUAUCUGUUCUGAACUCUGUUCGAGCAUUUAGUUUUGCAACCUGAAUUCCUCAACUGCUUCACACAAGUGAAUGAAUAGCAAAUGUACUCCUUUGACCUUUUCGGUCAUCUUUGGUAUAAUUUACAGGCUGUUUGCUCUUCCCCUACAGCAUGCCCCCCCCAAAAAACCUCAUGAUAAAAACAGACAGCCAAUCAAAGUAUGAAAUGUUGAAAAGGUUACCACUUUUGGUUUUGCUGUGUCUGUUCAAUGUUCAUAGCCUUGUUAGCAAGAAAUACUCUAACAAGAACAGAAAAUGCCAUCAGAUGAAUCAUGUUUCUUACAGAGAAACUGAGAGAUGAUAUAAACAUAAUCAAUUUUCAUUGCCAAUGCAGAUAAGUAUGUCCCAAGCUUUCACAUCAAUCUAGAACAUUUCCUCUUAAGUGAAUAUUGUUGGCCUUUCAAACUGCUGAUUAAGGUAGUGAGCAGCAGAUCUUAAGAUAUAUUUUUGUCUAGUAGCUGUUAUCUCCUAGAUAGUGUAAUAGUCAAUUCUACAUUUUAUUAUCAUUCAUUAAAAUUAUUUUUAUACUAAACGAGAUAUCGUAGAACUAGACUUCUAAUUCUCAUGUAAGAUUCUGGGUGGUUUUUUUGAUAUGACAGACUAAUAGUGACUUGAAACUAAUAUAAUAUUCCAGAGAGUUCCACAUAUUAACUAACUAAUUAAUUAAUAACCAAUUAAUUUGAAAAUCAAUUGAUAUGGACUCAGAGAAGGAAACAACUGCUGGUUGUCCAAGUUUCCUGAUCAGCUAAAGGAACAUUUCUCCUUAGACCUCUAAAUUGAGUUGAAUAUGAAGACUCUUGACACUGAGGUGAGGUGGUGGGAUGGCUCAGGAGGUUCAUCUUUUGAGGACAAGGCAGUUUACUGUCCAGCUUCUGUGAACAAUAGGAGAGUUGAGUUGUUCAUCUGGUUAGGACUGAUAUCUCACACAAGAUAUAAAUGAGAACUGGGAAGAGGUCUGGAGACUUAGUAUGGAGGGCGGGUUGUUUCUCUAGUCUAGGUGGUUUAUUUGGUGCCUUAAAAAGCGGUCCAUUUGUUUAAAGACAAUGUUUCCAUGAACGUAUUGCACUUGCUCUAAAAUGGUCUCACUGGUUACUAAUACAUCUGUAUGCUCAAUUCAAGGUUCUUGUAUUGACUUUAAGGCCUGAUAAGGUUAGGGUCCAGAGUAUUGGGGGGGGGGGGAAUGCCUACCUCUUUAUGAUCCCCCUUCCUGUCUCGGUAUUACUGUGUAUUCCAUCAGGGAAUUUGCCAUUGACAAGAAGCAGGUGCUUUUCAGUCAAUCUUCAAACUAUGGAAUUCCUUCCUCCUUGAAGUCAUGCUAGCUCUUCCUUCGCUCCAUUUGUUUAUGUAUUUAUUACGUUUAUAUACUGACUUUUUGCCAAUGCACCCAUGGUGGCUUAUAAUUUAAAAACACUAAAAGAAGCAAAUGAUCUAAAAUGUAGAGUCCUUCCAGGUCAAUAAUGGUUUUAUCAUGAGUCUGGGCCUUCCCUCAGUUCUUAAGUCACCUCAGGGAAGGAGUUACCUCAGGCCACUGAUGACUCAUAUAAAGAGCCGGCGGUAUGUGCUUUGAGGGGAGGGAGUAUGCCUUUUGUUGUUGUUGUGUCUUUUCUUUUUAAGAUCUUGCUUAAGCAUUGUUUAGAUUUGGUUCUUUGCACUUGAGUUUUUAAUCUGACUUUUGUUGUUCUGCUUUUUUGAAUGAUGGCAUCAACAUGAGAACAUGUCUGACUCACAGGCUGAAUUUCUCCAGUCUGCCAUUGCCAAGCUCAAUUGCCCCUGAAAACGUAUUUCAGCUGUGUUUGUUCAAACAUCUUUGCCCCACCUUUCCACUAAAAAGUGCUUAAGGUGCCUAUUUUGCACUGGCAAAAAUCUCAUGUGUGCUCUAAAGGCAGGCCAGGCCAUGUGUAAAUAGGGAUUUUUGCAAAAGCAAAAUGUGUGAAAUCAGCUGUUGGGGAAAACAAAAGCCCAUGGCUGCUUGAAAGAAGCAAUCUUGCCUUGUAAACCUCCAAACCAACCACAGUGCAAUAUGGUCUUCACAAUCUAAGUCCUCACUUCAAAGCUCCCAUCCUAUCAGAAACCUACUGCAUCACUUGCUCUGCUUAAAGCUCCCCCUCACGCUUGGAGUGGACCGGAUAGAAAUAGUGGGGGCUGUGACAUAGAAACAGGUGCCACCUGUCAGCUAGAGAGACUGCUUGUCUGACUUGUUAUAAGUCAUUAUACCUCAAUUCUACCACAGCACUGUUGCUUUGGGAAGGUUUUGGCUAAGAGAAACUUAUUUCUUUUUUAUUUCAGGCUGUACAUAAUGUAGAUGCCCCUGCAAGUUUUCUGGUUUCCUCUUCACCUGGCUGUCAGAAGCAGCCAAAAUUUUUUAACUAGAAUUAUUGACUUCUUAUUUUUGUUGUUUUUAGCAUUUAAAUAAGCUCAGCUUGCUGCAUACCAGAGAAGGGAGGGUAAAAGGGUGUGGGUGUUAACAUAACUCUUGGACUGACCUGAUUCUAUUCCCAGUGCAGGAUGUUCUCAUGCUUUGCAGAGGUAGGAUGCCUACAUAUUGUGAUAAUAUUUUGGAGCAUUGAAGCAUUUGGAAGGAUAAGAAACAGUUAUGGGAUAGAAAUAUGUUACUCUGACAGAUAGGAAGGUGGGGGAUAUAAAUCAGCAAUGUUGGUUUACAAUGAGCGUUCCUCCACGGUCCUGUGUACACUAUGAUAUUACACUGUGAUAUUUUGUUGUGUCAUAAAAUAGUUUAUUAUGCAAUAAACCACUGUGGUAGAAAAGGGUAUUCACAGCACUGGGCUGCAGCACCAAAACAGUGGAAGGGACAAGGAACAUUCAGACUCUGAUGGAGCCAGCCAUCACCAUCCACAUCACUGGUCCACAGCUCAGUGUUCUCACCUACCAUUGCAACUGCCCACUAUUGCCAGUCACUUGCACCCUUUCUUGGCCCUACCAGUAGUCUUCUUGGUCCUAGUGGUGCUGGGGUGGGACUUUAAAACAGAAGGUCAACGUCCCUCUGCUCUGGACUGUCAGUAGCAGCAGGCAGAUGCUAUUUUAGCUUCUCAAUGUAGUGCCCAACAUCAUAUCAAAAGGAGGUGGUCUUUCAGAUAUCUGGGGCCCAAGUCAUUAGGGUUUUAAACACCUUGAAUCAGGCCCAGAAAUGAACUUGCAUCUAAUGCAGCUGUUUUAAAACAUGAGUUUUAAAGGGAUCCUUAGCCCGUAAUCUGCUGCAUUUUGGGCCAGUUGACGUUUCUACAUCAUCUUUGAGAGCAUUCCCACAUAAAACAUUUUACAUUAAACCAGUCUGAAAGUUACCAGAGCAUGGAUCAAACUCCAGCUCACAGUACAUUGCACUAGUGGUACCAGCAUAAUUUUCUUUUCAUUUUUAAGGGAGAAUGACAGAGAGGAAAAGAGAAUGCACAACAUAUCUAUGUAGCAAAAUAUUAAAAGCAGUUACCAUCCUUUAGGCUGUGGUAUAAUGUAGGCCAUGUACCUAUAAAGGUUUUAAAUAUAGAUGUAGCUUUCAUAAUUUUUCAUGUAAUCAUUAUACUAAGUUAAUUAUUGACCAUGGGAGUGGCAUAUUAUACAUUUUAGAAGUAAGUCAAUCAAUCAAUCAAUCAGUCAAUCAAUCAAUAUUACCUGUUUGGCUAAUAGCUAUAUCACUUCUUCAACCAGGAUUAAUAACUAUAAUUAUAGAUAUGUUUAAUUUAGGCCAGCUAUCAAUGGAGAGUGGGAAUUCUACUAUAACUAUUAUUAACAACCUGGUAUGAAAUUUUUAAUAAAUUCCAUUAUUUAUGUUUAGAAUAGUUUUUAAACCACUUGAUCAAAGAGAUAUCCUAGUAGUGUACAAAUAAAAUUGUACAUAAACACAUACACACACAACCAUAAAUCAACAUUAUUUGGAUACUCGCUUGUUGAGGAGAAAGAUGAGCAAAUGAUAUUAAAAUAUAUUUAUUAAAUGAUAGAUUAAGUGAUAUAUUCUACUAAAGCAACCUUGGUGAAUAGAUUGUGAGCUGUACCACACUGCUCCUGUGGUCUGAAUUGAGAAGCAUAAUGUAUUGAGAAUUGUAUUUCAUGUUGUCUUGCAAAGGUUCUUGAGUCUUGCAAUAUCCUGGAAUAUUAGUUGCAUUGACUGGGGUGUUUUUAUUUUUUGAAGAAAUGAAAAAGAUCACACAAACACACACAUUUUUCUGAAGUACAGUGGUACCUCGGUUUUUGAAUGCCUUGGAAGUCUAACAUUCCAGUUUUUGAACGUUGAAAACCUGGAAGUAAAUGCUUCAGUUUUCUAACGCGCCUCAGAGGUCAAACGGCUUCCACUGAGUGUUUCCCAAUUUUCUCAAUUAAAUUUGUAUACCACCCUUUGCGCCUUAGUUUUCAAACGUUUUGGAAUACAAACGGUAUUCCAGAAUGGAUUAGAUUCGAAAACUGAGGUAGCGCUGUGCUUCCUUCAUAAGCAGGGCUGCUGUAUAACAAUAUGUACCAGUGUGUGCUAUGCUGGAUAGUUUCCAAAGAACUGAAUAGGCUGGGGAGUUGAUAAAUAGCACCUUUUACCCCUUUUUAAUCCAGCUUCAUGUGGUGAUUGAAAUGUUGUAAUAUUUAAUUUGAUGGUCUAUUCUAGUGCCAUUUAGAAAUAAUUACUAUACUCAGUGUUAUUUUUUAUGUCAAACAGAAAAGAUAUCUCUCCCUCUCUCGCUCUGUUUUUUCCUAACAAGAAAAAAGUAUAAUCACACAGGACUGCCAUUUAGUUGUGUUAGUAAUGGACAGAGCCAUGCUACAAAACUAUCAAUUUAACUAUGGCACAUAUUAACUGUCUAAGCCACUUGAGAAACUUGGCCCCAAAACUUUCUGGGCAUCCUACUUUCCAGUGUUGUCUUUCACAUCUCAAACACUUGGAAAGCUCAUAAGACUUACUUUGCACACAUAUAUUUACUUGAACUGGUAUGUGUGGUCAGGGGUGGAGGAAGGGGGGUGCAGUGAGUGCAGGCUGACCCGGGUGUCACCACUGAGGGGGGGGGGUGACAAAAUGUCGGGCGGCACUCACCGUGGGGCCUGCAGCACACCUGAGCCACAUGCCUCUCCUGGGAGAGACGUGGUGGCUUGGGUGUGCACAAGCUCUGUGCUGCCCAAAUGGUCUGCCCGCUGCCCCCCCCCGAUGUAGGCCGGCUGAGUGGGAGGAGGCAGGCAGACUCCAGAGGCCCUGCAGUGUGCCCCGCCCCUAUGGGCAUCUCGCCCUGCCCCUGGGCGCACUGCACCAGGCACCCAGCAGCUUCCUCCACCACUGUGUGUGGUGUAGUGGUUAGAGUGUUGGACUCGGACCUGGGAGAACAAGGUUCAAAUCCCCACUUGGCCAUGACACUCACUGGGUGACGUCAGACCAGUCACAGCCUUUCAGCCUAACCUACCUCACAAGGUUAUUGUGGGGAUUAAACAAGGAGAGGGAGAACCAUGUAUGCCAUCUUGAGCACCUCGAAGAAAAGGUGGGCUAUAAUAAUAAUAAUAAUAAUAAUAAUAAUAAUAAUAAUAAUAGGAUAUAUGCUUUUUAAUUGGUUGUGCACUUGGAGUAUUCAUAUAACAUAAGAGCCAGAAUACAUACAAGUUUUCAGACUAGCUAUUGCAACCAAGGAUUUUCAGUUACAGGACACUCUGUUCAGUUGUUCAGAAAUGUGUUCACUGUGAGGACACGAUGCUUUGGUAACAAGCUCCACCUCCAUGCUAUGUCCAUUUGUGAAUGCCUGAAAAGACUGCAUGUAUUGGGGCUCUUAUUCAGCCAAUUCUGUUAAUAUUGUUAUGAGUUUUUCAGGGAGGGCAGAUCCUCCUAAAUUCUUAGAUUUAGCUAAUAUUUGGACCUGGUACAAAUCCUUGCACAAAUGGAAUGACUUUGUUGGCUACAACUCAUUGCCAUUUGCCAUAAUGCCAUGCCCCUAUGCAUGUUCAUUGGACAACUGAAUGGGGCUCUCACUUCCAAGGUUGGGCUACAGCCAUCCAGGAUUCUCUGAAGGAGCACUGCUCAUGUGAGUAGCCGGCUUAUGUGAGAAUUCAGUUGCAAAGAGCAGUUAGCUUAGCAAAUGUAUGAGCUGUUUAUAAGUUCUCUGAUGAAGAGCUGCUCCUUACUGACAUGUGGUAAAACAGCCAUAGGCAAACUCGGCCCUUCAGAUGUUUUGAGACUACAACUCCCAUCAUCCCUAGUUAACAGGACCAGUGGUCAGGGAUGAUGGGAAUUGUAGUCUCAAAACAUCUGGAGGGCCGAGUUUGCCUAUGCCUGUGGUAAAAUAACAGGGUCACAGGAACAUGGGGAGCUGCUUUAUACCAACUUUGACAAUUGGUCUAUCUAGUUCACUAUUGAACUAAAUACCGACUUGCAGCAUUCUAGGCUUUCUGACAGGGGACAUUCCUAGUUCUACCUAGAGAGGCCAAAGAUUGAGUCUGGGACCUCCUGUGUGCAAAACAUGCUCUACAACUGAUUUGCAGCCUUUCAGGCCAACCCCACUUCAACUUCUGUCUCUUGAAUCAGUUCUAAGCAAGCACAUUGCAACUAUGCAAAUUUGAAAACCCUCACCUGCUGGUGAUUUGCCAGUUUUCCUUAAAAUAUAAAUAUAAAUCCAAGCACACCUUAGUUGUGAUCUGGAUGUAUUCUGUAGCAUUUUCAAGACCCAAAGAAAUUCAAUCAAAAGUGUGGGGGUGGGAUUCCAAACUAACUUCAUUAAAUGCAAUUGGUGUAUGUUUCAUUGAAUCAACUAAGCAGUGUUUUUAUUUUAAUUUAUUACUCAUCUUUCACCCUAAGGUACUUGGGUGGGUUACAGCAAUUAAUUUGUAUUUAUUUUUCCAUCACAGUGAAAGCGGCAACAACCUGGCAUUUCUAAGAGAAUAAAGAAUAAAGGAUAUUCAGCCAUGGACAAAAAGCAGCAUCUAGUGAAAAAGGAAUUUAGCAAAAGAUUUUCUUUGGACAGUACUCUCAUGGUGAGUACAAAAGCAUAUCUAUAGUUUUGGAUAUCUUUUUGGCAUUGGGCGCUUGGGCCUUUCAUUGCUGUGACCCUUUGUAACAGACAUCCUUGAAGACUUGUUGAAGACCUUGUAUUGUCAAAAUUGCAAGAGAGUUUUUUUCUAAAUAGCCAAAUGUGAGUAAAUGCUAAAAGACUAUUAUAGCUCAGCCAAAAUGCAACUGUUGAUAGGAACAUGACACCUUGUUCGUCUAGAUCAGAAUCUCAGAAGAAAAAUGAUGCCUUGUCCAGUGGAGUUUAGUGGAUCUGGGAUGCCCUGGUAUAGGGGUGUCAUUGAUAAAGUUGUGUCAAGCUGAAAACCCAAAGUGGUUUAAUCAAAGAACAUUGCUUCAAGAAAACAUAUGUAGUUAAAUAAUGUUCAAAUAACAAAGAUAUAUAUUUCUGUGUCUGUGUUCUAUAGCCAUUUGUACAGUGCUUUUAAAGUAUACAUCAAAAACUUAUGUCAGUAUGAUGAGUGUGCAUGAUCAUACAGGCAUCACUGGAAACCAGGAUCAGCUGCUGAGAGCACACUUGAUGGCAAACCUUGGUUUGAAAUGGCCCUGUUAAUGUCAGUGUUCAUUUUGGCUGCCGUGAACAAAGAUUGAACCUAAAACAUUGCUGUCUCUCGAUAAGCGACUUAGAUGUGUUUUCUUGGUUAGUCUUUUUCUCCCCUAAUAAAGGACUUGGGGUCACUCCACACGUUACAUUUUCAAAGUUUACUCGUAAGAAGUGACAAAUGCAAUUCAUGGACCUGUGCCUGGAUGCCACUCUACUGAACAUACACUUGGUAGACAUUCUUUUACAUAGAGCAAAUGCAUGGUACCUAAUGUCCUCUGGUACCAGACGUUAGUGAUUUGUUGAGCACUGAAACUCCAUUGUUACUUAUGUGAAACAUUCUUUUUUUAGGCAUGCUUCAGACAACAAGCAUGUACAUGCCCCCAUAAUACUGUUCUACAAAGACAUCAUAUGGCCAUAUUAUCAUAUUACUCAACUCUGCCAAACACUGAACAGAGAGAGCUUCCUCUUCAGUAGUUGUCAACACAUCCACAUUUUAGGGAGUUUCUGUCAACUUUGCAACAGUAUUUAGAUGGGGGAGAAGUACAUCAGGACCCACCCAGUUCUUUGAAACAGUUUAAAUUUAUGGAUUUAAAUUUAACACUGCUGGUGAAAGAAAUGCAGAAUUCUUUUUCAACCAUGUCAUGGCAGGAUUCUUUGGAAAGCAGAAAGCAGAGGUGGAGUUGAAUAUCAAAUCAUGAUAACUCCUGAGAAUUACAGCAUGCUCUAAAACUCUCCUUGCUCAUCUGUCUAAUGGCUAAUGUUCGUGCCGUAACAUUGAAUGUGUUUAGUCAGCAGAGUAAGCUCUGCUAAAGCUAAUGGGAUACAUUUGCAAAUAAAUAUGGAGAGGAGAAACAAUAAUAAGAAGCCAAAAAGGGGGGAAAUACCAAGUAGCCGCAUUCAGGCCAAAGUCAUGUCCGUGAGUCUGCUUCCUUGCCUCCACUUCCAGCAUAAUGAAUUUGUGGGCUUCUAAGCAGUGAGAGAAGAGCAGCAUUAUUUUCAAAGAAAUUAAGUUCCCAGGGUCAGCAUUUCAGGAGGUCGCUGACAUAUUUAGUGACUACCCUUCAAAUGUGAGAAAGCUGGUAUGAGAUUUCUAAGGAUGAUGAAAUCAGCUGACCCAGGAAAGAAUGGAAAGUAGAGAUGAAAAUCAAAGUAUUUCUGGGUCAGUAAUAGAGCAGUUGCAGAGAUGAAAGAGAGCCUUCUGCCUUGUAAAAUAAAUCAAGGUACAUCCCUUUAACCCGAACAAGGUAAUUCAUCAGCAGCGGCAGCACAGCAGGUUGUGGGAGUCUCACAGUAGUGUAGCUUUCAGGAAACUUUUAGGCUUGCUUACUACCAUAAUAUGCUAAUAAUAUAAAGCAGAGCUUCUGUGGCUUUAGAUCUGGGUUUGAAAAGCAAAGCGACAGGUGAUGCUUUCUCCUCGGUUCAUAUCCAAAUGGGAGGGAAAUAAUCUGAAACUUAUGCUUGUUAUGCACUUUAAAAAAUUCAGAGAAGUCUGGACAAGAAAAGGGAGUAACUCCACAACCACAACCUAGCAUACUAGUCGCAUUGGGUAUGUGAGGACUAAUUGUCCAGUCAGCUUUCUGCCCCACCUUAGCUGUAAUUAUCCCUUGGCUGGGAGAAAGGAGCCUAGUUACAACCAGACUAGAUUGUUGCAAUAAGGUCCACAAGGGAUUGCAUUAAAAGAUGUUUUGGAUUCUUCAGUUGGUACAGAAUGCGGUGAAUUCUGGACUCUUGUGGGGGCAAUCAAAGAAUAGAACACCGAUAUGAUACUGGCUGCACUGGAGGCUAGAUUUUUUUCAGGACUAGUUUAAAGUGUUGGUGGUGACUUUUAAAGCUCUAAACAGUGCGUAGCCAAGUUGUUUGAAGGGCUAUUUGUACUUGUAUAAACCUGUCUGGGUCUAAAAAUAUGUUCAGGGAGUUGUGUGCCCGCCAUCAAUAUAUAUUAAGUUGGCAGGCACUAGAAUUAACCUGUGGCCUUCCAGAUGCUGUUGGUCUACAACUUCCAGCAUUCCUGACCAUUGGCUAUUAUGGCUGGGGUUGAUGGGAAUUGGAAUCCAACAUCUGAAGGGACACAGGUUUACAACUCUUGUCCUAUAUAGGACGGGGUCUUUUUGGUGUUGGCCCCAUGUUUAAUGGAAACUUAGAACUUCAUUCUCUAGGUAUGUAUUCAUGGACCAUAUUUUGCUGCUUUUUAAACAGGCAUGGAAGACAUUCAUAUUUCAAACUGUUUAUAAUUUACACUUGAAAUGUUUGGCUCAUUUUCAACGGUUGGCUGUUCUAAUGCUUUUAUUUCAAGCUGCUUCUACAAAUAUUUAAAUAAUUAAGUAUAUAAAUAAACUGGUUCGAUCACGCAUACUUAAAUCUGUGCAUGAUAGGUAACGUCUGUGUUCAUGCCAGUGGAAUUUAGAAUGUAGCAAAGAAAAGUAUGCUGGGAAAAGGUCUAUUUGCCCGCCCCCUUUACAGUACUUGUCAGCACUGCCGGACUUCUGGGGUGGCGCCAUCGGUAAUGGCGGACUCCCUCUGAUCUGGAGGGACUGGCUCUACGGAAAUCGGGUCUGGUCCGCUACGGCGAAGCGGGGACCCUUUAAAAAAUCACAGGCGGGUGAAGCCUGUGACCGUGGGACUCGGCGGGCACCUUUCGCGCCCCCCCAAUUUGUAAAGGAACCCAAUUACGGGCUCCGGAGCGAAGCGGGGCAAGUGGCGCGGUGCUGAGAGUCAACUGCUUCUUCCGUGGAGCGAAGCCGCACAGCCGUUACCGGAGAGCGCUGACUUUUUCCUGUGACAAUCUGGCUACAAAAACAACUACCCGUGAGUAGAUUAAAUUUGGAAAUAAAGGAAAAUAAAGACUUAAUUCGGUACCGAGCGGGGAGGCAUAAACAGGAAGUCCGCCUUCCGUUUCUUGUAAAUAGAGUAAAGCAAAGAAGUUGUAAGCUAAAACCUGGAAAGUCGAUUGAAAAGGACUAUAAUCCUAACAUCAAAACAAGCGAUCUCCCCCCUUGGCUGCAGGAGAGGAGGGGGGAAAGGUGUGAACUAUAUUUUCCUGCAAAAAGAGAGGAAAAGAAGUUAAAAUACACCGCUUAAAACCUGGGAACGGGCUGCCAAUGGACAAUAAGAAUGCCGUAUUGUGAAAUGCGCUGUUGGUGAAUAGAGUACUUUUUGACAGUUAACUCUGCAAGAGAGAUACAAUGUUUCGGGCUGGCUUCUCCUGGAUUUAAAGUAACUGGAAACUAACUGAAAUUGAAAUUGUUGCCUAUUUUGUGAAUUGGGGGAUUAAAAAGGGUUAUUUUUUUUAAUGCAACAAGUUUUGACUGUUACUGUGUCCCCCUAGAGGAAGUUUGAAAUUGUUACAACAACUGGGCCAGGGGAAUUUUCCACUUCAAAACAAAUUCUGGCCGUGGGAUUGACCUUGGGCUUCAACUAGAGUGUUAUGGCAGAUGGAAAAGAAAAGGUAGACUUGCUUCAAGAAAAAACAACGAGGUCUGGUAGAUCUUUCCGUCCAGACACUUGGCAGCAGCGAAGAGCAUCAGCAUCUGGCCCUUCUGCACCAUCAGGGGCUGCCUCUGUACAACCUAAACCAAAAGGAAUGGCAUGUGAAGGUGUUUUAGCCCUGGCAUUAGGCAAAAUUAAUGAAUCUUUGGAAAAACUAAGUAAACAAGUAGCUGAAGCAUCAACUAAAAUUGAUCAGAAUACUACAAGCAUUAAUAAUUUGGGACAGAAGGUGAACACUAACACAGAAACUAUUGAGAAACUGCUACAGGAAUCUACCUUGACCCGAAAGACAGCUGAAGAAGCAAAGGAAAUAGCAGUUGCUGUAGAAGAGAAGAUACCACCGAUACAUAGGCAACUCAAGGACCACAGGUCGAUGUUGUCUAUGAUUGAAUUGAAGGAGAAACAAACGAAUUUGAGGAUCAGAGCCGUACCUGAACUUGAGAAAGACAAUCUGAUUGACUUUCUUAUGCAGGAAUUUGCAGACUUUUGGAACCUAGAUUUGGAGAAGGAAGAUUUUAAGAUAGUGAGUGCUUUCAGGCUUGGAAGAGGGGGGAAGAUGAACAGGGUGAGAGACUGUUUGAUCACCCUUCGAACAAAAGAGGAGAGAGACAAAAUCUUGAGUCUGCACUUUCAGAAGACUUUGGAAAUACAUCAGUCAAGAGUGGAGAUAUUUAAAGACAUCCCGAAACAUCUUUUGGACCUUAGGUCCAAUUACGGAGAUUUGGUCGCCCUGUUGAGAAGCAACAGAAUUAUCUUUAGGUGGGAAUUUCCCCAAGGCCUAUCUUUUAGCUUCAAAGG